UUUUUUUUUGUGCAAAAAAUGUAUUUUUUUCGCGAGAGUACGAUUUUGUUUUCGCGAGAGGCACGGCCGUGCCUCUUGGAAACGAAAAAAAAAACGUGUUUUCUAUUUUUUUUCUUUCGCGAGAGGCACGGUUUUUCUUCCGCGAGAGGCAGGGUUGUGCUUUCGCGAGAGGGGGUGUGCCUCUUUCGGAAAGGGAAAAAACGAGUUUUCUGUUUUUUUUCUUUUGCAAGAGGCACGGUUUUGCUUCCGCCAGAGGCACGGUUGUGCUUUCGCGAGAGGCAUGGGCGUGCCUCUUUCGGAAAGGGAAAAAACGCGUUUUCUGUUCUUUUUUCUUUCGCGAGAGGCACGGUAUUGCUUCCGCCAGAGGCACGGUUGUGCUUUCGCGAGACGCACGCGCGUGCCUCUUUCGGAAAGGAAAAAAAACAUGUUUUCUGUUUUUUUUUCUUUCGCGAGAGGCACGGUUGUGCUUUUGCCAGAGGCACGGGCGUGCCUCUUUUGCAAAAGGAAAAAAACGGGUUUUCUAUUUUUUUUCUUUUGUGAGAGGCACGGUUUUGUUUCCGCGAGAGGCACAGUUGUGAUUUCGUCAGAAGCACAGGCGUGCCUCUUUCGGAAAGGAAAAAAACCCGUGUUUCCGGUUCGGUUUUUUCAUCGGUUUUUUUUCGUCCGGUUUUUUCGUGAAAAAAAAGUUCGCCAAAACCUAUCAACAUGGGAUCUAGUUUUGAAGAUCUCGACGCGAGGAAUCCAAUGGCGAAAGCGGUUCGAGAUUUGGACGCACGGUUUAAGAGAUAAAACAUUUUGAAUAAACGGAUCUACGAAAAAGGGAAAACUCCCAGGUUGCGACAAGCACAUGCAGCGCGCCACUUGUCGCAACCUGGGAAAGUUGGAGUGAACUCCGCAAGGAGUACUCCUUAAUUAGUGAUUUCGGUCCUUCCCUCUCUACCUUUGUUAUUUCUUUGUUUCUCUAUUUUAUGUGUUUUUCAUUUGUUUUUCCUUUUCUUUAUUAGUCGGUUUAUUUUCUUUUGUGAGUAUUUUUGGAUGUUCUGUGAGUAUGCAUGUAUUCACACAAUACUAUACAGUAUGUGCGAAAGUCCAUGAUUAUAUGAUUAUUCCUUGCUUAGAACAAAAAAGUACAAUUUUAGUGCAAAUUUGUGUGCACAUUCUUAAAAAAAUUAUUUCAAUUGUUUUCUUCUUAAGAGGCAAUACUGUCACGCCCAAUAUGCGAUACUAUCCUAAAGAGACUCGAAGGUCCCACCAAGGAUAGAACCGCAUAUUGAAACGCUUUUGCAAGGUGGAUAUCAUUACAUCAAUAUUACAUAAUAGAUGGUGAUACAUACAUAAGGCGUACAAUGCCACAUGAAUACAACAUCACAAUACAUAAGAGCAUCAUCCGACUAUGGAUGAAACACAAACAGAAACUCAAACGACAUCCACCCUGCUAGCCCAGGCUGUCGACCUGGAACCUAUCCCCUGAAAGAAGAAGAAGUAGAAGAAAAACUCCAAAAUAAGCACACAUCGCUCUCGCGUCAAGAUCAUCGCAUAACCUGUACCUGCAACUGUUGUUGUAGUAAUCUGUGAGCCACGAGGACUCAGCAAUCCCAUUACCAUGGGUAUCAAGACUAGCAAAGCUUAAAGGAAAAGGAAGGGGGUAAAGUGGUGAGGUUGCAGCAGCGACUAAGCAUAUAUGGUGGCUAACAUACGCAAAUAAAAGCGAGAAGAGAGCAAAUGGAACGGUCGUGAAGCUAGCAAUGAUCAAGAAGUGAUCCCGAACUCCUACCUACGUCAACCAUAACCCAAAACCGUGUUCACUUCCCGGACUCCGCCGAAAAAAGACUAUCACGGCUACACACACAGUUGAUGCGUUUUAAUUCGGAUCAGGUGUCAAGUUAUCUACAACCGGACAUUAACAAAUUCCCAUCUGCCCAUAACCGUGGGCACGGCUUUCGAAAGAUAAUACCCUGCAGGGGUGUCCCAACUUAGCCCAUCAUAAGCUCUUGCGAUCAACGAAGGAUAUACCUUCUCCCAGGAAGACCCGAUCAGACUCGGAAUCCUGGUUUACAAGACAUUUCGACGAUGGUAAAACAAGACCAGCAAAGCCGCCCGAUGUGCCAACAAAUCCCGAUAGGAGCUGCACAUAUCUCGUUCUCAGGGCACACCGGAUAGGUCAGCCUACGAGUAAAACCAGCCCUCGAGUUGCCCCGAGGUGGCCCCGCAGUCUGCCCGUUUCAGACCAACACUCGAAGGAGCACUGGCCCGGGGGGGGGGCCCUAAAAUAAAGAUGACCCUCGGGCUCCGGAAACCCAAGGAAAAAGGGCUAGGUGAGGCAAAUGGUAAAACUAAGGUUGGGCUUUGCUGGAGGAGUUUUAUUCAAAGCGAACUGUCAAGGGGGUCCCAUAAAUCACCCAACAGCGUAAGGAACGCAAAAUCCGGGAACAUAACACCGGUAUGACGGAAACUAGGGCGGCAAGAGUGGAACAAAACACCAGGCAUAAGGCCGAGUCUUCCACCCUUUACCAAGUAUAUAGAUGCAUUAAUAAUAUAAGAGAUAUUGUGAUAUCCCAACAUAAUCCUGUCCACCAUGGGGCAAUCUUCAACUUCACCCGCAACUAACAAUGUUAUAAGAGGGGCUGAGUAAAAGCGGUAACAUAGCCAAGCAACGGUUUGCUAGGAAGGGUGAAAAGGUUAGAGGCUGACAUGGCAAAUUGGGAGGCUUGAUAAACAGGUGAUAGGUAGUGCAGCAUAGCGAUAGAACGAAGCAACUAGCAUAGCAAUGAUAGUAGUGAGAUCCAGGGUAGUGGUCAUCUUGCCUGAAAUCCCGCAAGGAAGAAGACCGCGUCCAUGAAGAAGAUGAAGCCACGAAGACGAACCAAGCGUAGACGAACGGAUCCUCACGAUCGCAACGAAACGUGAACUAUCGAGAAGAAGCACACAACAUGGUAAACACACCACACAUAGACAAGACAUGAUGCACAACAAGCAUGAUGCAUGGCAAAGCUACAUGAAGCUACUCAUGGCAAGAGAUGAUGCAUACAAGAACAACACAUCAAAGCAAGUUUAAACGAGGCCGGGAACAACAUAUAACAAAUCCGGUAAGUCCUCAUAUGCAAAUUUCGAAAUAAGUCCAGAUCUGAAUAACCCUUAAGUUCAAGUUGUUCAACAGCAAGUUAAGGUGCACCAAGAUGAUCUACAUGAUAUUCUAGUCAAGUUACAUAUAAAGUUCAUUUAGUUCGGAGCUACGGCCUAGAAGAUAUGAGCAAAACAAGUUAAACAUGGCAUUAACGCAAAAUGCAUACAAACAUCAAGCAAACACCUCAAAACAAGGAUGCAACAUGAUAAUAUGAAACUUCAUGCAAAAUCAAGCAAGUUUCAUAUAGAGCACACUCAAAACGGAGCAACGGUUCAACACAUACGCUCUAUACAAGUUAAGGCAACAAUCUGUCCAAAACAGCAACUAGGCAUAUUGCAAGCAUAAAAACAAUCUGCUACAGUACCACAAUAUGAAAACAAAAGGCAUGGACAUGAUGUACAGGUAAAGCAUAACAAAACAUGAACACUGAUCUAUCUCCAGAAAUCACUAGAACAUGCUCAAAAAACACAUGACAAGAUUGCAAAUAAUAACAGUUUCAGACUUUGCAGAAAUAACAACAGGUUGCAAUGUUUAGAGCUAUCACACAACAUGUUACAGGAUCUAUCGUGGCAAACAAAGGCAUGGAAUGAACCUACUAAUUGCAUAGAAUAAAAGUCUCUUACUGACCAUGAGCCAAAAAGGAUCAGAAGAUAUGAUGGCACCCAUGUAAACAUGGCAAGUUAUAUGACAGAUUCAUACAUGGCAGGAACAACAAUAAAUAGGCAUGUUGAUGAGCUUGUACCACUCACCACAGAGCAACAAUAAAUAGGCAUGGCAAGGCAACCAACAGAAAGAAGACAUGUUUAUGAAGCUAAGCAUGGCAAGAGUAAGUUCAUAGGGUGCAUGGAUCACUAGAAAAACACAUGGCAAAACUGAACUUAAUGUUAACAGGCUGAUAGCAACAUUAUUUAGCAAUUUGAGAGCAAGAUUACAACAAGCUACGACAGGCUAUAAUUUCAACCAGGGGCAUGGAUGGAUAUAGCAUGACAUGUAUAACAAAAUAUCCUUAGUGAACAUCUCCAGAUUAUGCAUAUAAUGACUUGUAGCAGCAGGUUUACAUAGCAUCACAAAAUAACAGAUUUAGCCUAGGAAAACAGCAACAGCAAGUACCAUACUUAACAAGCUUGAUGCACUCACUACACAACUCACAAAAAUACAUAGAUGGCACCCCUAUAAAGAUUACAUGAUUUAGUUCAAAACACAUGUAGAGCUCAUGCUCAUAAGAUGCACACAUCAAAUGCAACGAAAAAGACAAAUCAUCAAGUUAUAACAGUUUCAGCAGAUUAACAUUAUAUAGCACUCUUGCAACGAUGAUUCAGGCAUCAAGAUGGACUCAAAUGAACAUGAUGCAAUGGAAUGAAAUGAAGAGCAUCUCUCACUGAACACUUUGAUAUAUCAUAUGCAUGAAACGGAGCUACGGAUGCAGAGUUAUGAUGCGAUGAACAUGUCAUAAAAAUACUGUAGACUUAUGGGGAAAACGAGGUCAACCUAGGGGUCCUCAGAUCUGGAUCUAAGCACGGAUCCCGAGGUUGGGCCGGAGCUGCUCGCCGGAGUAGAAGAGGAGAUGGCCGGAGACGGGGCGCGGGGAGGCACGACCGGAGCGAGGGGAGGCCGACGGGCGAGGCGAGGCGUGGGGGCGGCGGCGCCAUGGCCGGGGCGGCGGGACGACGGGGCCAGGCGGCNNNNNNNNNNNNNNNNNNNNNNNNNNNNNNNNNNNNNNNNNNNNNNNNNNNNNNNNNNNNNNNNNNNNNNNNNNNNNNNNNNNNNNNNNNNNNNNNNNNNNNNNNNNNNNNNNNNNNNNNNNNNNNNNNNNNNNNNNNNNNNNNNNNNNNNNNNNNNNNNNNNNNNNNNNNNNNNNNNNNNNNNNNNNNNNNNNNNNNNNNNNNNNNNNNNNNNNNNNNNNNNNNNNNNNNNNNNNNNNNNNNNNNNNNNNNNNNNNNNNNNNNNNNNNNNNNNNNNNNNNNNNNNNNNNNNNNNNNNNNNNNNNNNNNNNNNNNNNNNNNNNNNNNNNNNNNNNNNNNNNNNNNNNNNNNNNNNNNNNNNNNNNNNNNNNNNNNNNNNNNNNNNNNNNNNNNNNNNNNNNNNNNNNNNNNNNNNNNNNNNNNNNNNNNNNNNNNNNNNNNNNNNNNNNNNNNNNNNNNNNNNNNNNNNNNNNNNNNNNNNNNNNNNNNNNNNNNNNNNNNNNNNNNNNNNNNNNNNNNNNNNNNNNNNNNNNNNNNNNNNNNNNNNNNNNNNNNNNNNNNNNNNNNNNNNNNNNNNNNNNNNNNNNNNNNNNNNNNNNNNNNNNNNNNNNNNNNNNNNNNNNNNNNGCGCGGGCCGGCGCGGAGGGCGCGGGGGCCACGUGGCGGCACGCCACUGGUUGGGAGCGGCGGCGAGGAAGCGUCCAGUCCGGGACGGACAUGUCCGGCAGACGAGAGGAGCGGGGCUAGGGUUUCGGGGGGAAAACAUCCGCGAAUUGAGGGGAAGGGCCUAUUUAUAGAUUCUGGGAGCUAGGAGAGUCCAAAUGAGGCACGGUUUUCUCCCACACUAUCGUGGUCGAACGACCGAGAGCAUGGAGGGGGUUUGGAUGGGUUCAUCGGCUGUGGUGAAGAAGGGCUGGGAUGCAAAGAGAGAGGGGUUCCAGGCUACCUGGUUAACCGUAGGAGUAUCAAACGACCUCCAAAUGGCACGAAACUUGACAGGAGGUCUACCGGUGCUAUACCAAGGUCGCUUGGCAAACCUCGGGCCAUUCCGAGAAAGUUCAACACCCGCUCACAACAGGAGACAAAAGGGGAACGCUGGAGGACAUAGGAGUGCCGGAUUGCAAAACAGACAACGGGGAAAAUGAUCGGAUGCAAGAAACGAACAUGUAUGCAAAAUGAAAUGCACAUGAUGACAUGAUAAAAUGCAACAGGCAAUUAAAUGACAUGGCAAUGACGGCGAAUAACUGGAGGACACCUGGCGUAUUGAAACCGGGGUGUUACAACACUCCUCCACUAACAAGAGAUCUCGUCCCGAGAUCUUAGGACCGAGACGAAAGGGAAAAGGGAUGAGGUGAAACAAGAACUCAAGAGAAGAAGCAAAGAAUCGCGAGCACACGAGAAGAAGACAGGAACGACGAGAAUGACGAGAAUCAAAAUCUCAUGGAAACAAGAUAGACUCUGAAAGCACUCCGGUUAGAACGAGAUAAGAAACGAAUAAGACUGAAAAGAUUUAAGCAGCACUCCGGCUGAAAAUGGAAGGAAUAGAACAUGAACUAGAGAGGAUGGAAAGAUACUUGAUGAAGACAUGACACAAAACCUCCAGAAAGAAUUGAAAGAGUUGAAUGAAAAGAACUUAGAAGGAAAGGUUGAACGGAGUUGUUGAGAAAAUCAACAACGAAAGAAUAAACUUGUUGUGGUCUUAUAGAUAACAUCUCAAGAUCAUAAGGUGAUAACCGGCCACAAACGGAAAUGACUAAAUAGCUGAGAAAACGAAGAAAUGCAAAACUCCACUUCAAAAGAAUACGAAGAAUUAAUUGCACUUCGAGACACAAGAAGAAAAGAUACUUGAACUCCACUGACAAGAAUCUUGAUGAACACUUGAAGAAUGAAUUAAAUCAUGAAGAUCCACCAUGAAGAACUCCGGUGACAAAAGGAUGACGAGAUAAACUGAAGGAUGAAAGAAUAAGAUGAGUGUUGCGAUGAUUUAGAUGGAGGUUCCGACGAAAUGACCGAGGAAAUUUGAACUCCGAAAAAGAAAAGAUGAAAACACUUGGAACUAGAAUUUAUUCCUCAAGAACAAACUCUGAAGGAAGGGAUUACUCACUUGGAUGAAAUAAGAAUAAGAUUUAUUGUAUGCUAACCCUUCAUCAAAUUAAAUUGAAGACAAGCAAUGGAUUUUGCAUACUACUUAUUCUUCUUGAAAAGGAUUGAGAAGUGACAUAGCGCCACCUUUAGGAAGGUCUUCAGUGAACCACCGUUAGGAUUUGUAAAGAACGAAUGAAUUGAUAUGAUAAUCAAGGAAAAAGAAUCUUGAACAAACCACCGUAAGAAUUCGAAAAUGAAUGAUGAAAGAGAAUGAAUCACCAGGAAGAAUUAGCAGAACAAAUAUGCUAAAGGGGAUUUAGAUGCAAAAGAACAAAGAGAUCAUGAGCUGAUUAAUGAACACUUGAACGAAGCACCGGGAUAAUUGGAUAACGGUAGCUGAAAUGUGAGGACGAAGAAUUCUUCUGGGAUGACGGCCUCCGGUGAAACGAAAAAGAAAUCAACUCCUGAAAUACUCCGGAUAGGUGAGAAAAAGGAAUAUCUGACAAAUGGAAUAAUAUGAGAGGAUAACAUGAAGCUAGAAACACGAAUCUUCGAGAGAACAUACAAGAUUUAGAGGAAAAGCUCUUCUUCGGUCUUUAAAUGACAAUGAGAAACACCAGCAAAAUUACUGAGAUACUCCGGGAGAAUGAAAAAGAGGAAGUGUUGAACCAAAGAUGAAAAGAAUUUGAAAGCGAACUUGGAGAUGGCAUCUGACUGAUGAAAUUCAUUCUUACGUCACACUUGAAAAGAAUUAGGAAUGGCUCCGGAAUAAUUAGAAGAGUCAGGUAAGAUCCUGGGAAAAGACCUGUGGGUUAGGGGCCACUAAAGGAAAGCACUGUUGGAAAGGAUGUUGAAUAGAUAGGUGAUGCACCGGAACAAUUGAAAUAUUUAAAUGAGGUGACAACCUCGAAUUAAUUGGAACACGGACGAAUCUCUUGAGAUGUCUUGAACACUCCAGAAGGAUUGAAUGGCGAGAGGUAAACGAGCAGGGGAAACACUUUAACCAAGGGAAGGAAUAUGAUCAACGCCGAAAAACUUGAAUUGAGUCCACCGGAGGAGAAAAAGAGCAGAAGAAUGACAAACAAGGCGAGAAUUCACCGGUUGAAAUAAUUGAGGGAAGACUGAAGAGGCUCCGUACGAAUGAAAAUUGAUGCUCGAAACAGACUCAGGCUCCGGGAAGAAGAGGGUGGGAGGGCGGGAAAACAAAGGCAACUCAGAAGGUGAAAUCGACGAAUAACUUGAAGAGAAAACGCCGGUUGAAAUCAUUGAGGAGAGAGAGCAAAACUUCGCACGAGUAGGAUGGAUACUCAAUUACGGACUCGGACUCCCAGAAGAAAAGGGUGGGCGGGUGGGAAAAGAAGACAACCGAGGAUUGAACUUGGCAAAGAUGAAGAGGCUCGCGUCAACUUGACGAGAAAUGCACCGGAUGAAAAAGAGCUGAGAACCAACGAUCGGAAAACCAACUGCGUGAUCCUAAAGAAAAAUUUGAAGGGGAAGAGAAGUAAUUCAAAACACCUACGUCAAGAUUCCUCACCAGAGCGACGAAGGGGCUGAGGAGUAAAAGGAAUUCCUACUCUCCGAUAUAACUAGACUCCAAAAACAGUUUUCUUCUAGACUCGACAACAGCCAAACUACAAGAUCAAUCAAGGGGGCUCCUAGGGUCGGUCGAGGCUCUGAUACCAACUUUUCACGCCCAAUAUGCGAUACUAUCCUAAAGAGACUCGAAGGUCCCACCAAGGAUAGAACCGCAUAUUCAAACGCUUUUGCAUGCUGGAUAUCAUUACAUCAAUAUUACAUAAUAGAUGGGGAUACAUACAUAAGGCAUACAAUGCCACACGAAUAAAACAUCACAAUACAUAAGAGCAUCAUCCGACUACGGAUGAAACACAAACAGAAACUCAAAGGACAUCCACCCUGCUAGCCCAGGCUGCUGACCUAGAACCUAUCCCCUGAUCGAAGAAGAAGCAGAAGAAAAACUCCAAAAUAAGCGCACAUCGCUCUCGCAUCAAGAUCAUCGCAUAACCUGUACAUGCAACUGUUGUUGUAGUAAUCUGUGAGCCACGAGGACUCAGCAAUCCCAUUACCAUGGGUACCAAGACUAGCAAAGCUUAAAGGGAAAGGAAGGGGGUAAAGUGGUGAGGUUGCAGCAGCGACUAAGCAUAUAUGGUGGCUAACAUACGCAAAUAAGAGCGAGAAGAGAGCAAAUGGAACGGUCGUGAAGCUAGCAAUGAUCAAGAAGUGAUCCUGAACUCCUACCUACGUUAACCAUAACCCAAAACCGUGUUCACUUCCCGGACUCCACCGAGAAAAGACCAUCACAGCUACACACACGGUUGAUGCGUUUUAAUUCGGAUCAGGUGUCAAGAUAUCUACAACCGGACAUUAACAAAUUCCCAUCUGCCCAUAACCGCGGGCACGGCUUUCGAAAGAUAAUACCCUACAGGGGUGUCCCAACUUAGCCCAUGAUAAGCUCUCGCGAUCAACGAAGGAUAUACCUUCUCCCAGGAAGACUCCAUCAGACUCGGAAUCCUGGUUUACAAGACAUUUCGACGAUGGUAAAACAAGACCAGCAAAGCCGCCCGAUGUGCCGACAAAUCCCGAUAGGAGCUGCACAAAUCUCGUUCUCAGGGCACACAGGAUAUGUCAGCCUACGAGUAAAACCAGCCCUCGAGUUGCCCCCCGAGGUGGCCCCGCAGUCUGCCCGUUUNNNNNNNNNNNNNNNNNNNNNNNNNNNNNNNNNNNNNNNNNNNNNNNNNNNNNNNNNNNNNNNNNNNNNNNNNNNNNNNNNNNNNNNNNNNNNNNNNNNNNNNNNNNNNNNNNNNNNNNNNNNNNNNNNCGGGCUCCGGAAACCCAAGGGAAAAAGGGCUACGUGAGGCAAAUGGUAAAACCAAGGUUGGGCCUUGCUGGAGGAGUUUUAUUCAAAGCGAACUGUCAAGGGGGUCCCAUAAAUCACCCAACCGCGUAACGAAUGCAAAAUCCGGGAACAUAACACCGGUAUGACGGAAACUAGGGCGGCAAGAGUGGAACAAAACACCAGGUAUAAGGCCGAGUCUUCCAACCUUUACCAAGUAUAUAGAUGUAUUAAUAAUAUAAGAGAUAUUGUGAUAUCCCAACAUAAUCCUGUCCACCAUGGGCAAUCUUCAACUUCACCUGCAACUAACAACGCUACAGCAGGCUAUAAUUGCAACCAGGGGCAUGGAUGGAUAUAGCAUGACAUGUAUAACAAAACAUCCUUAGUGAACAUCUCCAGAUUAUGCAUAGAAUGACUUGUAGCAGCAGGUUUACAUAGCAUCACGAAAUAACAGAUUCAGCCUAGCAAAACAGCAAUAGCAAGUAGCCUACUUAACAAGCUUGAUGCACUCACUACACAACUCACAAAAAUACAUAGAUGGCACCACUGUAAAGAUUACAUGAUGUAGUUCGAAACACAUGUAGAGCUCAUGCUCAUAAGAUGCACACAUCAAAUGCAACGAAAAAGACAUCAUCAAGUUAUAACAGUCUCAGCAGAUUAACAUCAUAUAGCACUCUUGCAAUGAUGAUUCAGGCAUCAAGAUGGACUCAAGUGAACAUGAUGCAAUGGAAUGAAAUGAAGAGCAUCUCUCACUGAACAUUGUGAUAUAUCAUAUGCAUGAAACGGAGCUAGGGGUAUAGAGUUAUGAUGCGAUGAACAUGUCAUAAAAAUACUGCAGACUUAGGGGGGAAAACGAGGUCAACCUAGGGGUCCUCCGAUCUGGAUAUGAGCACGGAUCCCGAGGUCAAGACGGAGCUGCUCGCCGGAGUAGAAGAGGAGGUGGCCGGAGACGGGGCGCGGGGGGGCCGGGGAGGCGCGGCCGGAGCGAGGGUAGGCCGGCGGGCGAGGCGAGGCGCNNNNNNNNNNNNNNNNNNNNNNNNNNNNNNNNNNNNNNNNNNNNNNNNNNNNNNNNNNNNNNNNNNNNNNNNNNNNNNNNNNNNNNNNNNNNNNNNNNNNNNNNNNNNNNNNNNNNNNNNNNNNNNNNNNNNNNNNNNNNNNNNNNNNNNNNNNNNNNNNNNNNNNNNNNNNNNNNNNNNNNNNNNNNNNNNNNNNNNNNNNNNNNNNNNNNNNNNNNNNNNNNNNNNNNNNNNNNNNNNNNNNNNNNNNNNNNNNNNNNNNNNNNNNNNNNNNNNNNNNNNNNNNNNNNNNNNNNNNNNNNNNNNNNNNNNNNNNNNNNNNNNNNNNNNNNNNNNNNNNNNNNNNNNNNNNNNNNNNNNNNNNNNNNNNNNNNNNNNNNNNNNNNNNNNNNNNNNNNNNNNNNNNNNNNNNNNNNNNNNNNNNNNNNNNNNNNNNNNNNNNNNNNNNNNNNNNNNNNNNNNNNNNNNNNNNNNNNNNNNNNNNNNNNNNNNNNNNNNNNNNNNNNNNNNNNGCGGGCGGUGACAGAUCGGGCGCGGGCUGCGGGGGCCGGCGACAGGCCGCGCGGGGGCCACGUGGCGGCGCGCCACUGGUUGGGAGCGGCGGCGGGGAGCGUCUGGUUCGGGACGGACAUGUCCGGCGGACGAGAGGAGCGGGGCUAGGGUUUCGGGGGAAAAACAUCUGCGAAUUGAGGGGAAGGGCCUAUUUAUAGAUUCUGGGAGCUAGGAGAGUCCAAAUGAGGCACGGUUUUCGCCCACACGAUCGUGAUCGAACGACCAAGAGCAUGGAGGGCGUUUGGAUGGGCUCGUGGGCUGUGGUGAAGAAGGGCUGGGCUGCAAAGAGAGAGGGGUUUCAGGCUACCCGGUUAACCGUAGGAGUAUCAAACGACCGCCAAAUGGCAUGAAACUUCACAGGCGGUCUACCGGUGCUAUACCAAGGCCGCUUGGCAAACCUCGGGACAUUGCGAGAAAGUUCAACACCCGCUCACAACAUGAGACAAAAGGGGAACGCCGGAGGACAUAUGAGUGCCGGAUUGCAAAACAGACAAUGGGGAAAAUGCUCGGAUGCAAGAAACGAACAUGUAUGCAAAAUGAAAUGCACAUGAUGACAUGGUAAAAUGCAACACGCAAUCAAAUGACAUGGCAAUGACGGCGAAUAACUGGAGGACACCUGGCGUAUUGAAACCGGGGUGUUACAACACUCCUCCACUAACAAGAGAUCUCGUCCCGAUAUCUUAGGACCGAGAUGAAAGGGAAAAGGGAUGAGGUGAAACAAGAACUCAAGAGAAGAAGCAAAGAAUCGCGAGCACACGAGAAGAAGAGAGGAGCGACGAGAAUGGCGAGAAUCAAAAUCUCAUGGAAACAAGAUUGACUCUGAAAGCACUCCGGUUAGAACGAGAUAAGAAACGAAUAAGACUGAAAAGAUUUAGGCAGCACUCUGGCUAAAAAUGGAAGGAAUAGAACAUGAACUAGAGAGGAUGGAAAGAUACUUGAUGAAGACAUGACACAAAACCUCCGGAAAGAAUUGAAAGAGUUGAAUGAAAAGAACUUAGAAGGAAAGGUUGAACGGAGUUGUUGAGAAAAUCAACAACGAAAGAAUAAACUUGUUGUGGUCUUAUAGAUAACAUCUCAAGAUCAUAAGGUGAUAACCGGCCACAAACGGAAAUGACUGAAUAGCUGAGAAGAACGAAGAAAUGCAAAACUCCACUUCAAAAGAAUACGAAGAAUUAAUUGCACUUCGAGACACAAGAAGAAAAGAUACUUGAACUCCACCGACAAGAAUCUUGAUGAACACUUGAAGAAUGAAUUAAAUCAUGAAGAUCCACCAUGAAGAACUCCGGUGACAAAAGGAUGAUGAGAUAAAAUGAAGGAUGAAAGAAUAAGAUGAGUGUUGCGAUGAUUUAGAUGGAGGUUCUGACGAAAUGACCGAGGAAAUUUGAACUCCGAAAAAGAAAAGAUGAAAACACUUGGAACUAGAAUUUAUUCCUCAAGAACAAACUCUGAAGGAAGGGAUUACUCACUUGGGUGAAAUAAGAAUAAGAUUUAUUGUAUGCUAACCCUUCAUCAAAUUAAAUUGAAGACAAGCAAUGGAUUUUGCAUACUACUUAUUCUUCUUGAAAAGGAUUGAGAAGUGACAUAGCGCCACCUUUAGGAAGGUCUUCAGUGAACCACCGUUAGGAUUUGUAAAGAACGAAUGAAUUGAUAUGAUAAUCAAGGAAAAAGUAUCUUGAACGAACCACCGUAAGAAUUCGAAAAUGAAUGAUGAAAGAGAAUGAAUCACCAGGAAGAAUUAGCAGAACAAAUAUGCUAGAGGGGAUUUAGAUGCAAAAGAACAAAGAGAUCAUGAGCUGAUUACAGAACACUUGAACGAAGCACCGGGAUAAUUGGAUAACGGUAGCUGAAAUGUGAGGACGAAGAAUUCUUCUGGGAUGAUGGCCUCCGGUGAAACGAAAAAGAAAUCAACUCCUGAAAUACUCCGGAUAGGUGAGAAAAAGGAAUAUCUGACAAAUGGAAUAAUAUGAGAGGAUAACAUGAAGCUAGAAACACAAAUCUUCGAGAGAACAUACAAGAUUUAGAGGAAAAAGCUCUUCUUCGGUCUUCAAAUGACGAUGAGAAACACCAGCAAAAUUACUGAGAUACUCCGGGAGAAUGAAAAAGAGGAAGUGUUGAACCAAAGAUGAAAAGAAUUUGAAAGCGAACUUGGAGAUGGCAUCUGACUGAUGAAAUUCAUUCUUACGUCACACUUGAAAAGAAUUAGGAAUGGCUCCGGAAUAAUUAGAAGAGUCAGGUAAGAUCCUGGGAAAAGACCUGUGGGUUAGGGGCCACUAAAGGAAAGCACCGUUGGAAAGGAUGUUGAAUAGAUAGGUGAUGCACCGGAACAAUUGAAAUAUUUAAAUGAGGUGACAACCUCGAAUUAAUUGGAACACGGACGAAUCUCUUGAGAUGUCUUGAACACUCCAAAAGGAUUGAAUGGCGAGAGGCAAAGGAGCAGGGGAAACACUUUAACCAAGGGAAGGAAUAUGAUCAACGCCGAAAAACUUGAAUUGAGUCCACCGGAGGAGAAAAAGAGCAGAAGAAUGACAAACAAGGCGAGAAUUCACCGGUUGAAAUAAUUGAGGGAAGACUGAAGAGGCUCCGUACGAAUGAAAAUUGAUGCUCGAAACAGACUCAGGCUCCGGGAAGAAGAGGGUGGGAGGGCGGGAAAACAAAGGCAACUCAGAAGGUGAAAUCGACGAAUAACUUGAAGAGAAAACGCCGGUUGAAAUCAUUGAGGAGAGAGAGCAAAACUUCGCACGAGUAGGAUGGAUACUCAAUUACGGACUCCGACUCCAAGAAGAAAAGGGUGGGCGGGUGGGAAAAGAAGACAACUGAGGAUUGAACUUGGCAAAGAUGAAGAGGCUCGAGUCAACUUGAUGAGAAACGCACCGGAUGAAAAAGAGCAGAGAACCAACGAUCGGAAAACCAACUGCCUGAUCCUAAAGAAAAAUUUGAAGGGGAAGAGAAGUAAUUCAAAACACCUACGUCAAGAUUCCUCACCAGAGCGACGAAGGGGCUGAGGAGUAAAAAUAAUUCCUACUCUUCGAUAUAACUAGACUCCAAAAACAGUUUUCUUCUAGACUCGACAACAGCCAAACUACAAGAUCAAUCAAGGGGGCUCCUAGGGUCGGUCGAGGCUCUGAUACCAACUUGUCACGCCCAAUAUGCGAUACUAUCCUAAAGAGACUCGAAGGUCCCACCAAGGAUAGAACCGCAUAUUCAAACGCUUUUGCAUGCUGGAUAUCAUUACAUCAAUAUUACAUAAUAGAUGGGGAUACAUACAUAAGGCAUACAAUGCCACACGAAUAAAACAUCACAAUACAUAAGAGCAUCAUCCGACUACGGAUGAAACACAAACAGAAACUCAAAGGACAUCCACACUGCUAGCCCAGGCUGCCGACCUAGAACCUAUCCCCUGAUCGAAGAAGAAGCAGAAGAAAAACUCCAAAAUAAGCACACAUCGCUCUCGCGUCAAGAUCAUCGCAUAACCUGUACAUGCAACUGUUGUUGUAGUAAUCUGUGAGCCACGAGGACUCAGCAAUCCCAUUACCAUGGGUAUCAAGACUAGCAAAGCUUAAAGGGAAAGGAAGGGGGUAAAGUGGUGAGGUUGCAGCAGCGACUAAGCAUAUAUGGUGGCUAACAUACGCAAAUAAGAGCGAGACGAGAGCAAAUGGAACGGUCGUGAAGCUAGCAAUGAUCAAGAAGUGAUCCUGAACUCCUACCUACGUUAACCAUAACCCAAAACCGUGUUCACUUCCCGUACUCCGCCGAGAAAAGACCAUCACAGCUACACACACGGUUGAUGCGUUUUAAUUCGGAUCAGGUGUCAAGAUAUCUACAACCGGACAUUAACAAAUUCCCAUCUGCCCAUAACCGCGGGCACGGCUUUCGAAAGAUAAUACCCUGCAGGGGUGUCCCAACUUAGCCCAUGAUAAGCUCUCGCGAUCAACGAAGGAUAUACCUUCUCCCAGGAAGACUCCAUCAGACUCGGAAUCCUGGUUUACAAGACAUUUCGACGAUGGUAAAACAAGACCAGCAAAGCCGCCCGAUGUGCCGACAAAUCCCGAUAGGAGCUGCACAAAUCUCGUUCUCAGGGCACACAGGAUAUCUCAGCCUAUGAGUAAAACCAGCCCUCGAGUUGCCCCCCGAGGUGGCCCCGCAGUCUGCCCGUUUCGGACCAACACUNNNNNNNNNNNNNNNNNNNNNNNNNNNNNNNNNNNNNNNNNNNNNNNNNNNNNNNNNNNNNNNNNNNNNNNNNNNNNNNNNNNNNNNNNNNNNNNNNNNNNNNUCGGGCUCCGGAAACCCAAGGGAAAAAGGGCUACGUGAGGCAAAUGGUAAAACUAAGGUUGGGCCUUGCUGGAGGAGUUUUAUUCAAAGCGAACUGUCAAGGGGGUCCCAUAAAUCACCCAACCGCGUAACGAAUGCAAAAUCCGGGAACAUAAGACCGGUAUGACGGAAACUAGGGCGGCAAGAGUGGAACAAAACACCAGGUAUAAGGCCGAGUCUUCCAACCUUUACCAAGUAAAUAGAUGUAUUAAUAAUAUAAGAGAUAUUGUGAUAUCCCAACAUAAUCCUGUCCACCAUGGGGCAAUCUUCAACUUCACCUGCAACUAACAACGCUACAGCAGGCUAUAAUUGCAACCAGGGGCAUGGAUGGAUAUAGCAUGACAUGUAUAACAAAACAUCCUUAGUGAACAUCUCCAGAUUAUGCAUAGAAUGACUUGUAGCAGCAGGUUUACAUAGCAUCACGAAAUAACAGAUUCAGCCUAGCAAAACAGCAAUAGCUAGUAGCCUACUUAACAAGCUUGAUGCACUCACUACACAACUCACAAAAAUACAUAGAUGGCACCACUGUAAAGAUUACAUGAUGUAGUUCGAAACACAUGUAGAGAUCAUGCUCAUAAGAUGCACACAUCAAAUGCAACGAAAAAGACAUCAUCAAGUUAUAACAGUCUCAGCAGAUUAACAUUAUAUAGCACUCUUGCAAUGAUGAUUCAGGCAUCAAGAUGGACUCAAAUGAACAUGAUGCAAUGGAAUGAAAUGAAGAGCAUCUCUCACUGAACAUUGUGAUAUAUCAUAUGCAUGAAACGGAGCUAGGGGUAUAGAGUUAUGAUGCAAUGAACAUGUCGUAAAAAUACUGCAGACUUAGGGGGAAAAACGAGGUCAACCUAGGGGUCCUCCGAUCUGGAUCUGAGCACGGAUCCCGAGGUCAAGACGGAGCUGCUCGCCGGAGUAGAAGAGGAGGUGGCCGGAGACGGGGCGCGUGGGGGCCGGGGAGGCGCGACCGGAGCGAGGGUAGGCCGACGGGCGAGGCGAGGCGCGGGGGCGGCGACGCCAUGGCCGGGGCGGCGGGACGACGGGGCCGGGCGGCNNNNNNNNNNNNNNNNNNNNNNNNNNNNNNNNNNNNNNNNNNNNNNNNNNNNNNNNNNNNNNNNNNNNNNNNNNNNNNNNNNNNNNNNNNNNNNNNNNNNNNNNNNNNNNNNNNNNNNNNNNNNNNNNNNNNNNNNNNNNNNNNNNNNNNNNNNNNNNNNNNNNNNNNNNNNNNNNNNNNNNNNNNNNNNNNNNNNNNNNNNNNNNNNNNNNNNNNNNNNNNNNNNNNNNNNNNNNNNNNNNNNNNNNNNNNNNNNNNNNNNNNNNNNNNNNNNNNNNNNNNNNNNNNNNNNNNNNNNNNNNNNNNNNNNNNNNNNNNNNNNNNNNNNNNNNNNNNNNNNNNNNNNNNNNNNNNNNNNNNNNNNNNNNNNNNNNNNNNNNNNNNNNNNNNNNNNNNNNNNNNNNNNNNNNNNNGGCCGGCGACAGGCCGCGCGGGGGCCACGUGGCGGGGAGCAUCUGGUUCGGGACGGACAUCUCCGGCGGACGAGAGGAGCGGGGCUAGGGUUUCGGGGGAAAAACAUCUGCGAAUUAAGGGGAAGGGCCUAUUUAUAGAUUCUGGGAGCUAGGAGAGUCCAAAUGAGGCACGGUUUUCGCCCACAUGAUCGUGAUCGAAUGACCAAGAGCAUGGAGGGCGUUUGGAUGGGCUCGUGGGCUGUGGUGAAGAAGGGCUGGGCUGCAGAGAGAGAGGGGUUUCAGGCUACCCGGUUAACCGUAGGAGUAUCAAACGACCUCCAAAUGGCAUGAAACUUGACAGGCGGUCUACCGGUGCUAUACCACGGCCGCUUGGAAAACCUCGGGACAUUCCGAGAAAGUUCAACACCCGCUCACAACAGGAGACAAAAGGGGAACGCCGGAGGACAUAUGAGUGCCGGAUUGCAAAACAGACAACGGGGAAAAUGCUCGGAUGCAAGAAACGAACAUGUACGCAAAAUGAAAUGCACAUGAUGACAUGAUAAAAUGCAACACGCAAUCAAAUGACAUGGCAAUGACGGCGAAUAACUGGAGGACACCUGACGCAUUGAAACCGGGGCGUUACAAAUACAAAUGCAACUACUCCAAUAUUCCUCAUAGAACAUCAUUAUUUUCAUUUAUUUUAGCUAUUAUUUCACUUUCUUUCUUCUUUAAUAGUAAUACAAAUGCCAUUAUUAUAUGCUUAUUAACAAAUAUUUAAAAGAAGCACAAUUUAUUGUCUAUUAUGUUCAAAUUUUGUCAUUGUUUUUAAUUUUUCUUUCUUAAAUAGAAAUAUCAAUGUCGCUAAUUAAUUCUUCCUUCGAGAACUCCAUUAUUUUGAUUUUCUUUUAGUUUUAAUUUAUUUUAUUUUUUCUUAAAGGGUAAUACCAAAGCCACUAACUCAUUUUUUUUCUUAGAUUCAUUAUUUUAAUUCAGUUUAAGCUUUAGUUUAAUUUAUUUUGAUUGAGUCUUAGCUUUAGUUUGAUUUUAUUUUAGUUUUAAUUUAUUUCAUCUUCGAGAACUAUGUGCAAUUUUUGACAUUGUUUAUUUUAGAUUAUUACUUAAUUCUCUUUAUUCUAAAGGGUAAUACAAAUGCCACUAAUUCAUUCCUUGUUAGAAGACUUCAUAUUUUGAUUUUGUUUGAGUCUAUAUUUCUUUUUUUUGUUCUUCUUUCAUUUCUUUCUUCGUAAUGGGUAAUACAAAUUCUAGUAAUUCAUUAUUCCUUACAAAAUAUUUUAAUUUUGAUUUUGUUUUAAUUUAUAUUUCAUUUUUUGUUCUUCUUUCAUUUCUUUCUUCGUUAACGGUAAUACAAAUGUCAGUAAGUUAUACUUCCUUAGAAAGUAUUCUUAUUUUGAUUUUGUUUUAGUUUAUAUUUCAUUUUAUUUCUUUUUUAAGGAUACUACCAAUUCCACUAAUUCACCCGUUCUUCGGAAAUUUCUUUUUGUGUAAAUUCCACUAUUAUAUGCUUAUUCUUGCAUAUUAUAAAAAUGAGCAAUUUUUGUGUAAAUUGUGUGCAAAUUUAUACAUUGUUUGUUUUAGAUUAUUAUUUUCCUUCAUAAAGGUUAAUAUAAAUGCCACUAAUUCAGUCUUCAUCGGAAAACAUAUAUUUUGAUUUGUUUUUUAUGUUUAUUUCAUUUUUUUCUUAAAGGGUAGUACCACUGUCACUUAUUCAUUUUUCUUUACAUUAUUUUGAUUUGUUUUAGUUUUUCCAUUUUCUUUCUUCUUUAAUGGUAAUACUGCCACUAAUUCCAUGCCUAUGCUUAUGCUUUUUUUAUUAAACGUUAAUGCUUACGACUUCUUGUCAUUGCACACUACGACCAGUGUUAAAAUAGUAGUUGUAAGAAAAUUGGUGAGUAGUUAGCUAAUAUUUGCACUGCGUGUGAUGUGCUCUUUUCUCACUUUUAUAUGAGCUACAUCUAUGGGGAUGUGUUGCAUUUUUCCUUAGAUAUUUUUAUUUUGAUUUUGUUUUAAUUUAUAUUUUGCUUUUUAUUCUUCUUUCAUUUCUUUGUUCGUCAAGGGUAAUACACCAGUAAUUCAUUCUUCCAUAGAAAAAAUAUUAUUUUGAUUUUGUUUUAGUUUAUAUCUCAUUUUCUUUCACUUUCAAGGGUAAUACCAAUUUCACUAAUUCGCCCUUUCUUUGGAAACUUUUUUGUGCGUAAAUUCCACUAUUAUAUGCUUAUUCUUGCAUAUUAAAAAAUGCGCAAUUUUUGUGUCAAUUAUGUGCAAGUUUAUAUAUUGUUUGUUUUAGAUUAUUAUUAAAGGGUAAUAUAAGUGCCACUAAUUCAUUCUUCGUCGGAAAACAUCAGAUUUUGAUUUUGUUUUGGUGCUUAUUUCAUUUUUUAAAAGGGUGGUACCAGUUUCACUUAUUCAUCCUUCUUUAUGGAACUUUAUUAUUUUGAUUUGUUUUAAUUUCUUCAUUUUCUUGAUUUUUUAAUGGUGAUGCUUAUGCUUUUUUUAUUAAUUGUUGAUGCUUACGACUUUUGUCAGUGCACACUACGACCAGUGUUAAAAUAAUAGUUGUAAGCAAAUUGGUGAGUAGUUGGCUAAUAUUUUUCAUUGCGUGUGAUGUGCUCUUUAUCUCUCUUUUAUAUGAGCUACAUCUAUGGGGAUGUGUUGCAUUUUGCCUCCACAUAUGCGUACAUACAUACAGACAUACAAAUGUGGAUCGAGUGUAUAUAUAUGCAGUUUUAUACGGAACAGCCAUCCGCGUAUGCAUCCGCGUCGAUACACGUUAAUUUUGGUUUGCAUGAAUCCUAAAGGAAUCUGUUAGAUUUUUAGUGCCACAUGGGCAUCAUCGUGUGUGGGUAUUGGAGAGUUCGCCCACAUGACCCGCAACACACGGUUGCCAGCUGUGCCGUGUGGGCGAACCGGUUUCUGUCCACACAGUCACCACCAAGUCCACGCGUGUGUGGACGAACUGCUCUUCAGCCACACGACGCCCGUACGUUGUUAGAUGGAAACUACAGUUACGCUUACAUGGUAACUAGGUAAACACACAUGGAGACAAGCUUACUUUGAUCAAAUCAGUAUUUGCACAUCUUCCUAUUUUCUUCAUGUGCACACUUGAUCUUCCAAAGGGCAUCCUUGAUAAAAUAAACAAAGCUUUAAAGCAUUGCUUCUGGAGGAAAUUUUGCAUGGAGGAUAGAGGUAGUGCACUAAUAGCCUAGGACAAAGUUUGUCUGCCUAUGGAUCAGGGCGGAUUGGGAGUUCUCAACAUUGAAAUUCAUAAUAAAUGUCUCCUAAUGAAACAUCCGCAUAAGUUUCUCCAUAAAGAAAAUCUUCCUUGGGAACAUCUUAUUUGGGACUCUUACUAACCUGAUGGAGUGAUCACCAAUAGGAAUGUUGGUUCAUUCUGGUGGAAAAGCAUCUUCAAACUGCUACCUAUUUUUAAAAUAGUAGCCCAAGGGAAGUUGGGAACUGGCAACACUAUUAAUUUUUGGAUGGACAACUGGGGUCAUGGCAUCACAAGAAAUAAAUUCCCAGAACUCUAUUCCUUUGCCACCAAGGACACUGCGAGCAUUCAGGAGUUUUCACAUGCACAAGAUAUAAGUGAAAACUUCUACCUCCCCCUCUCAGCCCAAGCACAUAAUCAGUUCAUAGACCUUCAGGGCACUCUUGAUUCACUGCAACUUACUAAUCAGGGUGAUCGAUGGAUAUACCCUUGGGGUACACAUUAUUCGUCUAUCAAGAUGUACAAACAAAUCACAAUGGGUCAACAAGCUGCACCAAUUUUCAAACAACUCUGGAAGAAUGCAACCAUGCUUCGAUACAAGAUCUUUUUCUGGCUCUUACUGCAUGACAGGGUCAAUACUAGGAACAUGCUUCAAAGAAGAUCAUUUCACCUACCUUCAUAUAAUUGUGCACUUUGUCAAAUGAGUACAGAGGAAACAUCUCAACAUCUAUUUUGGGAUUGUGACUUUGCUUUUUCUUGUUGGCAAUCCCUUUUGGGUCCCAGAGACGGAGGGUUCUCCAUCUUUGAUGAAGUCUCAUUUGCCAUUCAGACCUUGCCUGCUGCUUUUGCUAUGGAAAUCAUGAUUAUGGGGUGUUGGAAUAUCUGGAUGCAAAGAAAUGACAAAAUAUUCAAAGCAAAACAAGCUACAAUUCAAGCUUGGAAGGCCUCACUCAAGUCAGACCUCAAGCUACUGUUGCACAGAAUAAAGACUAAAUUUAGAGACCGGUUUUCCAGUUGGAUUGAGCAACAUUUAACUACUUGAUAAUGCUAGCCUGAGGGUUCAACAAAACAGGAGUGGGUUGAGCCUUUCUUUGGGUAGUCUUGUAUAUAUUGUAAACUAUUUAUUUUAAUGAAAUUUCCGUAGAACGAUUGUUCUAUGAUUUCGGUUCAAAAAAAAAGGUAAACACACAGGGCAUGAUUCGUUGCUAGAUGGCAACUGCAGUUGUGCGUACGUGGCAACUAAAUAAAAACACAUGGCAACUAUGAUUAACCAUACAUGGCAACUAUGGUUGGACCACACAUGGCAAGUAGUUAAUCAUACAUGCAACUAUUGUUUGAGCACGUAGGGCAAGUAACUUAUCACACAUGGAAACUAUAGUUCGAAUACACGUGGCAACUACCGUUACUUAGACAUGGAAACUACAUUUUGCCAUCCGGGGUGACUAAAGUUGCCAUCCCCCGGGUAACUAAAGUGUCAUCCAACGGGUACGCCAUGAGCUGUGGGAAGAUUUGCUUCGUGCCACACUCACGGGGUGAGGAUGAAUAGUAGUUUGUUGGGCGUGUGGCACGAAGUAGCUGCACCCACACGUGUGGGUAGUUCUAAUUCCGCACACACAUGGUCCGUGUAGGCUGGCUCCUGCUUACGCCACACACGUCGUGUGGGCGUAUGUCUAAUAUGCCACAUGUGUGGGCAUUAUCAGCGUCCAUUGUUUAAUAACAAUCAUGAGGCACUACUCUUCUCUUCUUUAUUUUCGUCCAUUGCCUUCAUGUCUCCACCUCCCGAAUUCAAACUCAUCAUCUCUGUCAAUGGUGCAUCUGGCUCACAAUCCUCCUCCAUCCACGCCCUUUCAAUCUAAUCACGUCUCCAUAUUACCAAAUGAUCAUAUGCAUUAUAUGUGCCACCACAACAGAGAAAAAUAAUGUCAUGGAAUCCGAUCAAACCAGUCACAUGACAAACCAAGUUCCAAACUUCCAAUAGUUUUAAGUUAACUGCAUAAUCGAAUCUUUAUUUGCGUUAUCCAUUUCUUUAAUCAUGUCAGAAUAAUUGAUUUGAUCUUACUUUUUUUGAACAAAGUACAGACUUGACGCUCAUAUGUACGCACAAAUGCUCACCCCUGUGGACACACGCAUGCACACCUACCUCUAUGAGCACCUCCGAGAGACUGAGCCGAGAAAUCAUUUUGAGAUUGACGAAGUCGUCACAGGCUCUUUCGUAGUUGACGGAAACGUCUCCUCCCACUAAACGCGCAUCGCCAAAAGGCCUGAUAUAAAUCCAGGAAAUGGCGAGUACCAGGGUCAAGUCUAGGACUUGAACCCUGGUUGGCUGGGAUACCAUUUCCGUCCUAACCUUCUAACUGCAGGUUGGUUUGCAUUUUGCCUAACUUUGUUUAGUAGACUCUAUUAUUUUGAAGAGAAAAAAAUAUUUGUACACUAUGAUGGCAUGCUUUAAGAAAGUUUAAGAGAUAUUACCAAAAUCAUGUAAUGAAUGUAGAUUCGUUCCCGUGAUCAAAAAGUAGUAACAUAUAAAGUAUGACAGAGUCAGCAAAGUUAUACAUGGUGUUGACAUAAGCAUUAGUUGUCUGUAACUCCAUUAUGAAAGCAGCCACAUAAUCCAAUGUUUGUGAGGAUGGCACAAUAUUGUCAUGUUUGUUAUGGGUGAAGAUCUUGGCUUGAGCUUUCUUCUCAUUUUUACAUGUUAUUUGUACAUUUGUUCCACAAUUUACUGGGAAGACAACAUAAAAAUAAAGUAUGACAGAGUUAGCAAAGUUAUACAUGGUGUUGACAUGAGCAUUAGUCGUCCAUAAUUCAAUUAUGACGACAGCCAUAGAAUCCAAUAUUUGUGAGGAUGGCACAAUAUUGUCAAGUUUCUUACUAGUGAAGAUCUUGGCUUGAGCUUUCUUCUCAUUUUUACAUGUUAUUUGCACAUUUGUUCGAUAAUCUACUAGCAAGACAACAAAAAAGCCACAUUACAUCAUCAGUACACUUUGAUGGUUAUCCAAAAAUACAAUGGUAGUCUCAAAUUGCGUCGGUUUUCUCAGCACUCAACAGAUCUACAUAGGGAUCCAUUGUUGUGCCAAACAACAACAAAGCACUACUGAAUGAUCUCAUCUGCACAACAAAUAACAAAUAGCAAAACCAACAACCGUGCAGCAUAACAUAUCACUUCUCACAUCUCUUCUCACUAGGAUCAAUCUCUUGCACUACCUAAACAUCCGUUCCCCACUCCAACCCCGCCCACUAUCCCAUGGUCCCCGCCGCCCCCUAUUUGCAAAGGAGUCAAGGACACCAGCAUCAAUGUCACAAUGUGCAGCAGCGCGGUGACCUGCCUCGGCAUCCUUGUACAAGGAGCAGGCGGCCCUUAACCCCGUUGAGGUAGGUUUCCUAUCGAGGGCCGCGAGCUAGGAUACAGUCGUACAGAGGGAAAGAUUGGGACGUCAUCUUCGUUCAGCUCUGCCAGUGGCAGCACAAAGGAGGGGCGACGACCUCGUCUAGGGCACAACUUGGAGGCGGGGCGGCUCGAUUGCUCGUCUCUGCUCGGCUGCUCGCUCACCAUGUCGUGUCUCCCAAUUCCAUCACUCCCAAGAGAGGAAGGAGAGCCUCACCGAUGUCCACCGGGCGGAGGGACUUGCUGGGGAGGCGGGGGACGGGCGGCCGCGGCGGCGGCUUGAAGAGAGAAGAGAUGGCGGUUGAGCUUGGGACGAGGAUGUAUUUCCCAUGGCGAAGAUGGGAGCGAGGGUGUCAAAUCAGAUCAGAUCAGGGACUGCAUCCCGAUAAUUACGGACACGGUGUGCAUGGGGAAAAAGGGGUCGACGCCGGGCGAGAGAUGAAUGAAACACUGGACUCGUGCAUGCCUUUUAUCUCGGGCCUUUCUGGGUCUGCGCACGCUGGACAACUGAACGAGCAUGACGAGCAAAAGUUGGACGAAGAUCGUCAUCACGAGCGACGUAAGACGGAAAACGAAAUGUUUUGUUUCUUUUAGGUAGUAGAGAUGUCAAAAUUGUUGGGGAACAAAGUAAAUUCAAAAAACAUCCUACGAUCACGCAAGAUCUAUCUCUAGGUGAUGCAUAGCAAUGAGAGGAGAGAGUGUUAUCUACGUACCCUCGUAGACCAAAAGCGGAAGCGUUAUGACAACGCGGUUGAUGUAGUCAUACGUCUUCACGAUCCGACCGAUCCUAGCACCGAAGGUACGGCACCUCCGUGAUCUGCACACGUUCAGCUCGGUGACAUCACACGAACUCUAGAUCCAGCUGAGGUCAAGGGAGAGUUUCGUCAGCACAACGGCGUGCUGACCGUGAUGAUGAAAUUACCGGAGCAGGGCUUCGCCUAAGCACUACGACGAUAUGACCGAGGUGUGUAACUGUGGAGGGGGAACCGCACAUGGAUAAAACAAUUGUCAACUUGUGUGUUCUAGGGUGCCCCCUGCCCCCGUAUAUAAAGGAGCAAGGGGCAGGCCGGCCGGCCCUCCUAGGGCGCGCCCCAAUUGGGGAAUCCUACUAUGACUCCAAGUCGUAGUAGGUUUCCACCUAAAGGGAGAGAGGGGGAAGGAAGGAGAGGGAGAGGGGGAAGGAAAGGGGGGCGCCCCCCCCCCUUCCUUGUCCUAUUGGGACUCAAGGGGACGGGGUGCGCGGCCUGCCCUGGCCGGCCCUUCUUUCUCUCCACUAGGGCCCAUCGAGGCCCAUUAGUUCCCCGAGGGGUUCCGGUAACCCUCCGGCACUCCGGCUUUAUUCGAAACUUCUUCGGAACACUUCCGUUGUCCGAAUAUAGUCGUACAAUAUAUCAAUCUUUGUGUCUCGACCAUUUUGAGACUCCUCGUCAUGUCCGUGAUCAUAUCCGGGACUCCGAACAAUCGUCGGUACAACAUAUCACAUAAACUCAUAAUAAUAAUCGUCAUCGAAUGUUAAGCGUGCGGACCCUACGGGUUUGAGAACUAUGUAGACAUGACCAAGACACGUCUCCAAUCAAUAACCAAUAACAGAACCUACAUGCUCAUAUUGGUUCCUACAGAUUCUACGAAGAUCUUUAUCGGUCAAACUGCAUAACAACAUACGUUGUUCCUUUGUCAUCGGUAUGUUACUUGCCCGAGAUUUGAUCUCUGGUAUCUCAAUACCUAGUUCAAUAUUGUUACCGGGAAGUCUAUUUUCUCGUUUCGUAAUACUUCAUCCCGCAACUAACUCAUUAAUCACAAUGCUUGCAAGGCUUAUAGUGAUGAGUAUUACCGAGAGGGCCCAGAGAUACCUCUCUAAAACACAGAGUGACAAAUCCUAAUCUUGAUCUAUGGCAACCCAACAAACACCUUCAGAGACACCUGUAGAGCACCUUUAUAAUCACCCAUUUAUGUUGUGAUGUUUGGUAGCACACAAAGUGUUCCUCCGGUAUUCGGAAGUUGCAUAAUCUCAUAGUCUGAGGAAGUUGUAUAAGUCAUGAACAAAGCAGUAGCAAUGAAACUGACACGAUCAUAAUGCUAAGCUAAUGGAUGGGUCAUGCCCAUCACAUCAUUCUCCUAAUGAUGUGAUCCAGUUUAUCAAAUGACAACACAUGUCUAUGGUUAGGAAACAUAACCAUCUUUGAUUAAUGAGCUAGUCAAGUAGAGGCAUACUAGGGACUAUAUGUUUUGUCUAUAUAUUGACACAUGUACUAAGUUUCCGUUUAAUACAAUUCUAUCAUGAAUAAUAAACAUUUAUCAUGAACUAAGGAAAUAAAUAAUAACUUUAUUAUUUCCUCUAGGGCAUAGUCUCCCACUUGCACUAGAGUCAAUAAUCUAGAUUACAUAGUAAUGAUUCUAACACCCAUGGAGCUUUGGUGAUGAUCGUGUUUUGCUCGUGGAAGAGGCUUAGUGAAAGGGUCUGCAACAUUCAGAUCCGCGUAUAUCUUGCAAAUUUCUAUGUCCCCUUCCGACACUUGAUGACGGAUGGAAUUGAAGAGUCUCUUGAUGUGCUUGUUUCUCUUGUGAAAUCUAGAUUCCUUUGCCAAGGCAGUUGCACCAGUAUUGUCACAAAAGAUUUUCAUUGGACCUGAUGCACUAGGUAUGACACCUAGAUUAGAUAUGAACUCCUUCGUCCAAACUCCUUCAUUUGCUGCUUCUGAAGCAGCAAUGUACUCCGCUUCACAUGUAGAUCCCGUCACGAUGCUUUGCUUGGAACUGCACCAACUGACAGAUCCUCCAUUCAAUAAAAAUACAUAUCUGGUUUAUGACUUAGAAUCAUCCGGAUUAGUGUCAAAGCUUGCAUCGACAUAACCAUUUACGAUGAGCUCUUUUUCACCACCAUAAACGAGAAACAUAUCCUUAGUCCUUUUCAGGUAUUUUAGGAUGUUCUUGACUGCUGUCCAGUGCUCCACUCCGGGAUUACUUUGGUACCUCCCUGCUAUGCUUAUAGCAAGACAUAAAUCAGGUCUGGUACACAACAUUGCAUACAUGAUAGAACCUAUGGCUGAAGCAUAGGGAAUGAGUUUCAUUUUCUCUCUAUCUUCUGCAGUGGUUGGGCAUUGAGUCUGACUCAACUUUUUUUUGAGUCUGGCUCAACUUCACACUUUGUAACACAGGCAAGAACCCUUUCUUCGACUGAUCCAUUUUGAACUUCUUCAAAACUUUAUCAAGGUAUGUGCUUUGUGAAAGUCCAAUUAAGCGUCUUGAUCUAUCUCUAUAGAUCUUGAUGCCCAAUAUGUAAGCAGCUUCUCCGAGGUAUUUCAUAGAAAAACUCUUAUUUAGGUAUUCCUUUAUGCUAUCCAGAAAUUCUAUAUCAUUUCCAGUCAACAAUAUGUCAUCUACAUAUAAGAUCAGAAAUGCUAUAGAGCUGCCACUCACUUUCUUGUAAAUACAGGCUUCUCCAAAAUUCUGUAUAAAACCGUAUGCUUUGAUCACACUAUCAAAGCGUUUAUUCCAACUCCGAGAGGAUUGCACCAGUCCAUAAAUGGAUCGCUGGAGCUUGCACACUUUGUUAGCACCCUUUGGAUCGACAAAACCUUCUGGCUGCAUCAUAUACAACUCUUCUUCCAGAAAUCCAACAUCCAUUUGCCAAAUUUCAUAAUCAUAAAAUGCAGCAAUUGCUAACAUUAUUCGGACAGACUGAAGCAUCACUACGGGUGAGAAAGUCUCAUCAUAGUCAACUACUUGAACUUGUCGAAAACCUUUCGCAACAAGUCGAGCUUUGUAAAUGGUAACAUUACCGUCUGCGUCGGUCUUCUUCUUAAAGAUCCAUUUAUUUUCUAUGGCUUGCUGAUCAAGUCCACCAAAGUCCACACUUUGUUCUCAUACAUGGAUCCCAUCUCAGAUUUCAUGGCCUCAAGCCAUUUCGCGGAAUAUGGGCUCAUCAUCGCUUCUUCAUAGUUCGUAGGUUCAUCAUGGUCUAGUAAGAUGACUUCCAAAACAGGAUUACCGUACCACUCUGGUGCGGAUCUUACUCUGGAAGACCUAGUUUUGGUAGUAACUUGAUCUGAAGCUUCAUGAUCAUCAUCAUUAGCUUCCUCACUAAUUGGUGUAGGAAUCACGGGAACUAAUUUCUGUGAUGAACUACUUUCCAAUAAGGGAGAAGGUACAGUUACCUCAUCAAGUUCUACUUUCCUCCCACUCACUUCUUUCGAGAGAUACUCCUUCCCUAGAAAGUAUCCAUUCUUAGCAACAAAGAUUUUACCUUCGGAUCUGUGAUAGAAGGUGUACCCAACAGUUUCCUUUCGGUAUCCUAUGAAGACGUACUUCUCCGAUUUGGGUUCGAGCUUAUCAGGUCGAAGCUUUUUCACAUAAGCAUCGCAGACCCAAACUUUAAGAAACGAUAACUUUGGUUUCUUGCCAAACCACAGUUCAUAAGGCGUUGUCUCAAUGGAUUUUGAUGGUGCCAUAUUGAAAGUGAAUGCAGCCGUUUCUAGAGCAUAACCCCAAAACAAUAGCGGUAAAUCAGUAAGUGACAUCAUAGAUUGCACCAUAUCCAAUAAAGUACGGUUAUGACGUUCGGACACACCAUUUUGCUGUGGUGUUUCACGUGGCAUUAAUUGUGAAACUAUCCAUGUUGUUUCAAAUGAAGACCAAACUCGUAACUCAAAUAUUCUCCUCCACGAUCAGAUCGUAGAAACUUUAUUUUCUUGUUACGAUGAUUUUCCACUUCACUGAAGUUCUUUGAACUUUUCAAAUGUUUCAAACUUAUGCUUCAUUAAGUAGAUAUAACCAUAUCUGCUCAAAUCAUUUGUGAAGGCAAGAAAAUAACGAUACCCAGCACGAGCAUCAAUACUCAUUGGACCGCAUACAUCGGUAUGUAUUAUUUCCAACAAGUUAGUAGCUUGUUCCAUUGUUCCGGGGAACGGAGUUUUAGUCAUCUUUCCCAUAAGGCACGGUUCGCAAGCACCAAGUGAUUCAUAAUCAAGUGAUUCCAAAAGUCCAUCAGCAUGGAGUUUCUUCAUGCGCUUUACACCGAUAUGACCCAAACGGCAGUGCCAUAAAUAAGUUGCACUAUCAUUAUUAAACUUAUAUCUUUUGGCUUCAAUACUAUGAAUAUGUGUAUCACUACUAUCAAGAUUUAACAAAAAUAGACCACUCAGCAGGGGUGCAUGACCAUAAAAGAUAUUACUCAUAUAAAUAGAACAACCAUUAUUCUUUGAUAUAAAUGAACAACAGUCUGGCAUUAAACAAGAUCCUGAUAUAAUGUUCAUGCUUAACACUGGCACCAAAUAACAAUUAUUCAGGUCUAAAACUAAUCCCGAUGGUAGAUGUAGAGGUAGCAUGCCGACCGCGAUCACAUCGACUUUGGAACCAUUUCCCACGCGCAUCGUCACCUCGUCCUUAGCAAAUCUUCGCUUAAUCCAUAGCCCCUGUUUCGAGUUGCAAAUAUGAGCAACAGAACCAGUAUCAAAUACCCAGGCGCUACUGCGAGCAUUAGUUAAGUACACAUCAAUAACAUGUAUAUCAAAUAUACCUUUCACUUUGCCAUCCUUUUUAUCUGCCAAAUACUUGGGGCAGUUCCGCUUCCAGUGACCAGUCUCUUUGCAGUAGAAGCACUUAGUUUCAGGCUUAGGUCUAGACUUAGUAUUCUUCUCUUGAGCAGCAACCUUUUUGUCGUUCUUCUUGAAGUUCCCCUUCUUCCCUUUGCCCUUUUUCUUGAAACUAGUGGUCUUAUUGACCAUCAACACUUGAUGCUCCUUUUUUGAUUUCUACCUCCGCGGCCUUUAGCAUCGCGAAGAGCUCGGGAAUAGUCUUGUUCGUCCCUUGCAUAUUAUUGUUCAUCACAAAGCCUUUAUAGCUUGGUGGUAGUGAUUGAAGAACUUUGUCAAUGACACAAUCAACUGGAAGAUCAACUCCCAGCUGAGUCAAGUGAUUAUGAUACCCAGACAUUUUGAGUAUGUGUUCACUGACAGAACUAUUCUCCUCCAUUUUGCAGCUGCAGAACUUGUUGGAGACUUCAUAUCUCUCAACUCAGGCAUUUGCUUGAAAUAUUAACUUAAACUUUUGGAACAUCUCAUAUGCUCCAUGACAUUCAAAACGUCUUUGAAGUUCCGAUUCUAAGGCAUACAACAUGGCACACUGAACUAUCGAGUAGUCAUUGCUCUGCCAGACGUUCUUAACGUCAUCAGUAGCAUCUGUAGCAGGCCUGGCACCUAGCGGUGCUUCCAGGACGUAAUUCUUCUGUGCAGCAAUGAGGAUAAUCCUCAAGUUAAGGACCCAAUCCGUGUAGUUGCUGCCAUCAUCUUUCAAGUUAGCUUUCUCUAGGAACGCAUUAAAAUUCAAAGGAACGGUAGCACGGGCCAUUGAUCUACAACAACAUAGACAUGUGAAAUACUAUCAGGUACUAAGUUUAUGACAAAUUAAAGUUCAAUUAAUCAUAUUAUUUAAGAACUCCCACUUAGAUAGACAUCCCUCUAAUAAUCUAAGUGAUCACGUGAUCCAAAUCAACUAAAACAUGUCCGAUCAUCAUGUGAGAUGGAGUAGUUCUCAAUGGUGAACAUCACUAUGUUGAUCAUAUCUACUAUAUGAUUCACGCUCGACCUUUCGGUUUUAGUGUUCCGAGGCCAUGUCUACAUAUGCUAGGCUCGUCAAGUUCAACCCAAGUAUUCUGCCUGUGCAAAACUGGCUUGCACCUGUUGUAUGUUAACAUAGAGCUUAUCACACCCGAUCAUCACGUGGUGUCUCGGCACGACGAACUGUAGCAAUGAUGCAUACUCAAGGAGAACACUUGUACCUUGAAAUUUAGUAAGGGAUCAUCUUAUAAUGCUACCGACGUUCUAAGCAAAAUAAGAUGCAUAAAGGAUAAACAUCACAUGCAAUCAUAAUAUGUAACAUGAUAUGGCCAUCAUCAUCUUGUGCUCAUGAUCUCCAUCACCGAAGCAUCGUCAUGAUCUCCAACUUCACUGGCGCGACACCUUGAUCUCCAUCGUAGCAUUGUUGUCGUCUCGCCAACUAUGGUUACUACGACUAUCGCUACCGCUUAGUGCUAAAGUAAAACAAUUAUAUGGCGAUUGCGUUGCAUACAAUAAAGCGACAACCAUAUGGCUCCUGCUAGUUGCCGAUAACUUUGUUACAAAAACAUGAUCAUCUCAUACAACAAUUUAUAUCACAUCAUGCUUGACCAUACCAUAUCACAUUAAGGCCUGCAAAAACAAGUUAGACGUCCUCUAAUUUGUUGUUGCAAUUUUAACGUGGCUGCUAUGGGCUUCUACCAAGAACUGUUCUUACCUACGCAUCAAAACCACAAUGAUUUUUCGUCAAGUGUGCUAUUUUAACCUUCAACAAGGACCGGGCGUAGCCACACUCGUUCAACUAAAGUUGGAGAAACAGACACUCACCAGCCACCUAUGUGUGAAGCACAUCGGUAGAACUAGUCUCGCGUAAGCGUCGUGUAAUGUCGGUCUGCGCCGCUUCAUCCAACAAUACCGCCGAAUCAAAGUAUGACAUGCUGGUAAGCAGUAUGGCUAUUAUCACCCACAACUCACUUGUGUUGUACUCGUGCAUAUAACAUCUACACAAAAACCUGGCUCUGAUGCCACCGUUGGGGAACGGAGUAAAUUCAAAAAAAUCCUACGAUCACGCAAGAUCUAUCUCUAGGUGAUGCAUAGCAACGAGAGGAGAGAGUAUUAUCUACGUACCCUCGUAGACCGAAAGCGGAAGCGUUAUGACAACGCGGUUGAUGUAGUCGUACAUCUUCACGAUCCGACCGAUCCUAGCACUGAAGGUACGGCACCUCCGCGAUCUGCACACGUUAAGCUCGGUGACGUUCCAUGAACUCUAGAUCAUGCUGAGGUCGAGGGAGAUUUUCGUCAGCACAAUGGCAUGGUGACGGUGAUGAUGAAGUUACCGGCGCAGGGCUUCGCCUAAGCACUACGACGAUAUGACCGAGGUGUGUAACUGUGGAGGGGGCACCGCACACGGCUAAAACAAUUGUCAACUUGUGUGUUCUAGGGUGCCCCCUGCCCCUGUAUGCAAAGGAGCAAGGGGAGGCCGGCCAGCCCUGCUAGAGCGCGCCCCAAUAGGGGAAUCCUACUAGGACUCCAAGUCUUAGUAGGAUCCACCUAAAGGGAGAGAGGGGGGAGAAAGGAGAGGGACAGGGCGAAGGAAAGGCCCCCCCUUCCUUGUCCUAUUCGGACUCAAGGAGUGGGGGCACGCGGCAUGCCCUGGCCGGCCCUUCUCUCUCCACUAGGGCCCAUCGAGGCCCAUUAGUUCCCCAGGGGGUUCCGGUAACCCUCCCGCACUCUGUUUUUUUUUGAAACUUCUCCGGAACACUUCCGGUGUCCGAAUAUAGUCAUCCAAUAUAUCAAUAUUUAUGUCUCGACCAUUUCGAGACUUCUCGUCAUGUCCGUGAUCAUAUCCGGGACUCCGAACAAUUGUCGGUACAUCAUAUCACAUAAACUCAUAAUACCAAUCAUCAUCGAACGUUAAGCAUGCGAACCCUGCGGAUUCGAGAAAUAUGUAGACAUGAUCGAGACACGUCUCAGGUCAAUAACCAAUAGCGGAACCUGGAUGCUCAUAUUGGUUCCUACAUAUUCUACGAAGAUCUUUACCGGUCAAACUGCAUAACAACAUACGUUGUUCCCUUUGUCAUCGGUAUGUUACUUGUCCGAGAUUCGAUCGUCGGUAUCUCAAUACCUAGUUCAAUCUCGUUACUGGCAAGUCUCUUUUCUCGUUCCAUAAUACUUCAUCCCGCAACUAACUCAUUAAUCACAAUGCUUGCAAGGCUUAUACUGAUGAGCAUUACCGAGUGGGCCCAGAGAUACCUCUCCGAAACACGGAGUGACAAAUCCUAAUCUCGAUCUAUGCCAACCCAACAAACACCUUCGGAGACACCUGUAGAGCACCUUUAUAUUCACCCCUUUACCUUGUGACGUUUGGUAGCGCACAAAGUGUUCCUCCGGUAUUCGGGAGUUGCAUAAUCUCAUAGUCCGAGGAACUUUUAUAAGUCAUGAAGACGCAGUAGCAAUGAAACUAACACGAUCAUAACGCUAAGCUAAUGGAUGGAUCAUGUCCAUCACAUCAUUCUCCUAAUGAUGUGAUCCCAUUUAUCAAAUGACAACACAUGUCUAUGGUUAGGAAACAUAACCAUCUUUGAUUAACGAGCUAGUCAAGUAGAAGCAUACUAGGGACUAUAUAUUUUGUCUAUGUAUUCACACAUGUACUAAGUUUCCGGUUAAUACAAUUCUAGCAUGAAUAAUAAACAUUUAUUAUGAAUUAAGGAAACAAAUAAUAACUUUAUUAUUGCCUGUAGGGCAUAUUUCUUUCGAAAAUAUGACUGAUUAUAGAGUAUCUACAACCGAACGCCUCAAACCCGUCUCAAACGUCCGGGGCGGACGGCCCGACCAUUGACCGGUCACGGAAAUUUGACCCUGAGGACGUUUCAAAUGGGCCUCAAACGCCCGGGCUGACCGGCACCCCUCAUAUCCAGCCCAAAUAUAUGGCAGAUAUGAGGCGCCCGGGCGCGUCCGCCACGUCGGAGCCGACCCAUGAUGGCCCACUCGACCCCACAUAUAGUUCUUCUGAUCGGCUUGCUGGUCCAAACCCUAACCACUUCACUCCACUCCUCUCCGCCACUCAAACUCACCUUCGGCGAUCUCUAGCAUGGCGGACAGCGGAUCCGAGUCCUUCAUCUCCAGAUCCAUCGACCCUGAGCUCACCCCACGCAGCCCCGAGGAGGAGAUGGCCGUCCAGCUUGCGCUUCGCUGCUCCCGGGAGGAGGCCCGUGUGAGGCAGCGUGCGGACUCCUUCCGUCCAAAAUCCAUUACAGCCACCCAAAUGGCACAUGGAUCCGGCUCUAGGUGUGUCAUCGCUAUCUCACCGGAGGCGGUGCGGUCCGACUGGAGCCCAAACGCGAUGGCCAACGCGCAAUCCCCCCGUUGGCACGCGGAGCAGCAAGACACACCAUGGGCGUCGUCUGAUGCAAACAUGGUACGGCGUGCCGGACGUGCGAGGCAGUGGGUGCGGGAGACGGCGGCAACCCUCGCGGCGGUGGAUGUCGGCGAGCCAGCGGGCCUGGAGGCGGCGGUGGACGUUAGCGAGGCCGAGUCGCACUCCGGCGCCCCUUAUGAUGCACCAGUCCAGGUGCCGCAACUGCGUCAGGAUGGAUGUCGCCUGCUAAUCUUAGGACGGAUCCACCAUCGAUCUGACGUCCCCCAGUACCGUCUGAAUUUCGGGCUCUGACAUGAAAGAGUAGGGUAUGGAAGACGGCGGCGUCUUGAGUCUCGUGAGCUCGACGACGGUGAGUUUUGCAUCGCGUGGACCAUCGGGAUCAGCGAGGACAACUCGAGCAUACGGCAGCGGGCCAUCUUCCUGAUGGGCGUCAAGUUCGGCAGGACCUCCCCGUCGGCUCCCCUCCGCCUACUCCACCACAAGGCCUGUGUCUACGAGUUGCCACACCGUGUUCUCAUGGGCUAGGCUCUUCGUGCUGAUUGAUUUACAUGAAGAUAUUUUUGGUACCAACAAAUCUUCUAUCAUUUCCUCUUCACCGUGAUUUAUAAAGUAGCCAACUGUGCAUACGUGAAGAUACUUAAUGAAGCAACUCUAGAAUAUUUCCAAAAUAACACCUUAAAUUUUCAAUAUAUUCAUCUUCAAUCAUGGCGGUACAAAACAAUAAAGAUAAUAAAAAUUACAGCCAUGUUUGUGGACCACCUAGCGACGACUACAAGCACUGGAGUGAGUCAAAGGCACACCGCGCACCGUCAUCGCCCCUCCCUCACUGGAGUCGGGCAAACCUUGUUGCAAUAGACAGUCAAGAAGUCGUCGUGAUACGGACCCAUAGAACAAGAACACCAAAGUAGGAACCAUCACCGUUGAAGAAAGUCAUAAAUCAGAGGGAUCAAACCUGUAAACACUCAAACGAAGACGAACGAAGACCGGAUCCAAACAGAUCCACUCAAGACUAUCACCGAACGAAUCCUGCGAGAUCCGACGGAGACAAACCUCCAUACGCCGUCCGAUGAUGCUAGACGCAUCAUCCGGACGGGGAUAGAUUGUGGGAGACAUUAUUCCUACUAAGGGAUAUCGCCGCCACCACACAGCCUCAACCAAGACGCUGAAUCUAACAAGAAAGUGGACAAGGUCCCUCCCGCCGGCGGGGGUGCUAGAUCAUCCGCACCUCCAUGGCCUAGAGGUUCUAUUUUCUACACUCUUUUAAAAGAUCCAGUUGAUGAUGAUGGUUUGUCUAUCAUCCGUCAUUUUUUACCAUCUGAUCUACAUCUAAUCCAUGCUAGGUAAGCUGGCAUUUUUUUUUUUUGCAAAAUGACCCCUACCACUCUGAUCUACAUGUGCAGAAAAUCCCUUUGUCUCUCCAGACCAUGCCCGUCUGAUCCAAUCCAAACAUAUAUGAGGCAUAAAUUUUGGGUAAACCCAACAUAAUUUUAGUGAUAUAUUUACCAAAAAAUGAAGGGAAGCAUUGGCGCAGCGGUAAAGCUGUUGCCUGUGACCAUGAGGUCACUGGUUCGAGUCCUGAAAAUAGUCACUUGCAGAAAUGUAAGAAAAGGCUACGUACAACAGAUCAAAAAUGGUUGGACUUAUCCUCGAACCAUGUGCAAGAGGGAACUAUGUGAAUCAGGCCGCCCCUUUUUACAUAUACCAAAAAAUAGAGUGCUUGUGUAUUAGUCUAUUUUGUGUGGGUUGCAAUGCAUGGGCACUUUACUAGCCUGUAGAAAAAAUGUCACUUCAAAAAUUUCGGAGAAAAAAUGUCACUUUACUAGCCGGUGACACAAAUCACUGCCGGAAUAGAGCAGCGGGCCACCCCGCGGUAGCCCGAAGGAGCCCGAGCAGCUCCACCACACAAAGCCCGCAACGCCAGCACGAGCCUAGCCACCUUAGCAACCCCCACACGGAGUCGGCUGAACCGGAGCACUCCAUUGAUGGCUACCGCUCAGCAAGGACCAUGGUUUUCAUUUUCAGUGAGAUUUCGAGUAAUUAAGGAAGACAGUGACGUAUGAGCCGCUUGUGAAGUGUGCCAGUGUGUAUGCCCCAAUGUCAGCCAAUGAUGACGCAGGGGGUGACAUACUUUUGCAGAAAACCCCUCCUUUGCGCAAAAAAGCCCUCCCUUUAGCGCAUAUGUGGCUUGGGAAAAUAUAGGAACUAAAAAAUGGUACCAUCACGCCAGAUUAGCUCACACACUAACCAGUCGACCACGAAAUAACUUUUGUUUUGUUUACAGACAAAAGGCUCUUUAACACGAUGUUCAACAUCAGCCAAACCAAGGAAUAAACGGAAUUUAAACAUAUUCACUAGCCGUCCAACACUGACAGUAUAAUCUCUGUAAUAAAAUGCUUAAAUAUCCACGUGUUACAAGUAUUGUACUUACGAACAAAAUAAAAUUACUUAAAAAAUUAUGUAUAAUUUAAAAAUAUUCAUCUAUUUACGAAAAUUAUGAAUUAUAAAAAAAUGUAUAACUUAAAUAAUAAAAAUAUAUUAAAAAUUAAAUUAAAUAGAAUUAUUUUAAUUAUAAAAUCAUUUCAAUAAUUACACGCACAUUUGUAUAUCCCAAUGUUUNNNNNNNNNNNNNNNNNNNNNNNNNNNNNNNNNNNNNNNNNNNNNNNNNNNNNNNNNNNNNNNNNNNNNNNNNNNNNNNNNNNNNNNNNNNNNNNNNNNNNNNNNNNNNNNNNNNNNNNNNNNNNNNNNNNNNNNNNNNNNNNNNNNNNNNNNNNNNNNNNNNNNNNNNNNNNNNNNNNNNNNNNNNNNNNNNNNNNNNNNNNNNNNNNNNNNNNNNNNNNNNNNNNNNNNNNNNNNNNNNNNNNNNNNNNNNNNNNNNNNNNNNNNNNNNNNNNNNNNNNNNNNNNNNNNNNNNNNNNNNNNNNNNNNNNNNNNNNNNNNNNNNNNNNNNNNNNNNNNNNNNNNNNNNNNNNNNNNNNNNNNNNNNNNNNNNNNNNNNNNNNNNNNNNNNNNNNNNNNNNNNNNNNNNNNNNNNNNNNNNNNNNNNNNNNNNNNNNNNNNNNNNNNNNNNNNNNNNNNNNNNNNNNNNNNNNNNNNNNNNNNNNNNNNNNNNNNNNNNNNNNNNNNNNNNNNNNNNNNNNNNNNNNNNNNNNNNNNNNNNNNNNNNNNNNNNNNNNNNNNNNNNNNNNNNNNNNNNNNNNNNNNNNNNNNNNNNNNNNNNNNNNNNNNNNNNNNNNNNNNNNNNNNNNNNNNNNNNNNNNNNNNNNNNNNNNNNNNNNNNNNNNNNACUCACAUUUGUAUAGCUCAUGCUUUAAAUUUAAAUGUUUCUCAUUGACUAACCAUCGUCUGUAUGUGUUAUAUUUUUUACAAACAAAACAUGAACACAAAUUUAUUACUUACAUUUUACAUAAAUCUUAAAUCUUUUUGUUACCUACAAUUUACUAAAAAAUUACAUAAUAAAUAGGUUUUAUUUUUUAUUUACUAAUCAUCAUCUGUAUGGAUAACAUUAUUACCACAUAAAUAAUUGAACUUUAUUACUUACGUUUUAAAAUAAUUUUAAAAAUAGUGUGUGCACCAUGGGCUGCAGUAUCUGCAGCCCAUUUAAGCUCCACGUGCGUCUUCGUUAAAUACAUACAUAUAGAUGAUUUGUUAUCCACCUCAAAAAAAUUUGAUUUGGUAUCCCCUUAAGACAUCUUGCCUUCUCGUUGCUGGCCGCCGCGCUCCCUCGCCCUGGCCGCCGCACGCCCUCGCCACGCCAAGCUCCACGUUGCGGCUGCAAGUGUGUGUGUGCCUGGACGGGGGCUACCACGUUGCCGACGAGCUGUGGCGUCCACCAAUCGGCGUGCUGGUGCUUGGCAUCGUCGAGCUGUGGCGCAACGGCGGCGGCGGUGAAGAGCGCGCAUCGUCGGCGUCCACGGCAGCAAGUCGCCGGAGCCGACGUCAGUGCUGUACAACCGGAGCCCGAGCCCUUCGACCCCUCCUUCCUGCCCCCGCCCCCUCUCCACCCGCCGCAGGAGGCCGCCUUCUCGCUCCCGCAGCUCCCGCCGCAGCUCUCCAUCCUGGCACCACAGCCGCAGCUCUCUGUUCCCCGUCUCCACCGCACCAGGCGCUGCCGAGGGAGGAGAUGGAGAUCUGGAGCCCCAGUCGGCGGUAGACGAGCUCCUCGAGGCGGCGCGCGCGAGAUAUUGGUCAAUCACUGGCUCCCCUCGUGUCCCGCCCCGCCGGGGCACCCUCCCUGCUCCACGCCGCCGCGCUGCUGCAUCGCCUCCUCCCGCCCAUGGCCAGGAGCUCAGUCGUCUCGCCGCUCGACGUCGUGCUCAAGCUCGCUGCGCUGGUCGAGUUGCUCGACACGCCCGACAGGCCGCGCUGGUCCAGCUCCUGCUGCGGCCCAGGGCGGAGCGCCUGGUCUCCGGUGGAUGGAGUCCGCGGCGGCGAGCAGGAGGGCGAGCAGCACCACGGUGAGGGCGGCGAGCAGGAGGGCUAAGGGCGGAGGCGGUGAGCGGCAGGCGAGGCGAAAGCGUGCGGUGACAAGUGGAUAAGUGCGUGGGGGGCAACGAGUGGACAUUUUCUCGUUCCCAGCAAAAAAAAAUCACCGGCAGCCCCCUAGGAGGCGAAAAAAUGCCUCCGGGGGGGCUCAACGGCUGGAGAUGCUCUGAGUUGCUUAAGGGUAAUGAUGGUUCAGACUCUUGAACCAUAGGGUAGAGAAGAAUAAUGAGGUAUACAAGCAAGAGAGUCAGCAGCAGCAGAUGCCACUAAUAACAUUUUUUUAAGGAGCAUGAUAUUCAGUCUCCAUUAAUUAAUUAGAUCAAUGCCGCCCACUGACGAAAAUGGGGUUUCCCCCGCUUUAUAUUAUAAAGCAACCGCACCAACAUGCAUCCACAAGAGACGGUUAGAGUUGAGUCCGUCCCUAGGGUGACGGUUCGCGUACGCUCCGUCGAUCGCGGGGCGAUUAGGGUUUUGGUCGUCCGCUUCCAUCUCCUCCAGAUUGCGGAGGCGGUGAUCGUCCUCGUGCUUGUUUGAUCGCGCGUCUCCUUCGACGACGCGAUUCUCCCAUCCAUCCUUUCCCACCAUAGGCCUUCCCUGUGCUCCCUAGGGCACAGGGUCGUAAUACACUUCGGAAACCCUAGGAGGAGUACGGAGGAGGCGUCGGGUGGAGAGCAGGAGAUGGAGGUAGUAGCGGGGCUACUGGGAAACCUGAAGCUCUCGGAAGAGGAGAAGAAAGGAGUUAAGAUCCGUCUAGGGGGGGAAGAACAAGGGGAAGGAAGCGGCGGCCCAAGCGGUAGGAAGAGUUGUUUCAGAGAAACCAACUCACCCUCAUGCGAUCUGUCUCUCCCUGGGAUGGAUCUGGUGCCCAAUUAAGGGUAUUGACUACAAGGAAGCUGGGGACAACAGAUUUGUGUUCACGUUCAAACAAGAGUCCGGGAAGAGGAAAGCACUAGAGGACGGGCCGCGGAUGUUCGACAAAGAAUUAGUGGUUGUGGAAGACUAUGAUCCGGGCAAAAGGAUUGAGGACCACGAUUUUAAUGAGAUCCCGAUAUGGGUGAGGAUUUUUAGCCUCCGCCUUGGCAUGAUGAAUGAGGAUUCAGCGGAGGUGAUGGGCAACAUCAUUGGGCGUUUCAUGGAGGUAGACGCAGGAGCGGAUGGGAGGGCUAUUGGGAAGUUCUUGAGGGUCAAGAUCCGAAUGAACAUUGAGAAACCAGUGAUGAGAGGGUUCACUCUUGAUGAUGAGGAGGGUGGGGGUGCAAACAAGAGGAAGAAACGGAUGAGCAUAGAUGGUAGAGAGGAGGAGGAAGAAGGAGAGGGCUUGUGGUGCAGAUUUGAGUAUGAAUUUUUACCAGACUUCUGUUAUACGUGUGGAACAAUAGGACACGUGGCAAAGGACUGCUCUACCAAGGUGAAAAAAGGGGAGAGAGCUCAGUUUGGGCCGUGGCUGAGAGCAGAUGUUGGGAGGAGGAGGUUUAUGGGGGAGGACGAACGGAGCUGGAAGACAAGGGGUGGAGGAGGUGGAGGGGGAGGAGGUGGAAUCAGGCACUAUGGCUACAACCGAUCGGGAGGACGGGUAGGAAGUGGUAGUGGAAGCGACAGUCUAUCAUGGCGCAAGAGUGCCGGCCGGGACUUGGGUGGCAAAGGAGGUGGGGAAGGAGAAGAAGAGGUGACCAGCCCACCCAAGCUGAAAGACACGGUAGCACCACAUGGGGAAACCCUAAGAAACUAGAUAUGGAGGGAGGUGUGGUGCAGCAGGAGCAGGAGAAGAGAGAUUCCAACAAUGGGAAAAAGGUGGUGGUGCAUGAGCGGAGUAAGGCGGUGGAGGGGGUGCGUGUCACCCAUGGGGGUUCGAUGGCUGUGGAAUCUAAUGAUGGGGAGGAGGUACUCGCAACACGGGAGGAGGAGAACGUGGGAGGGGAGCAGGAGCCGAGCCCACAAAGGAACGGCAGCGGGGUACAUUCAAACGGAGGACUGGUGGUGAGGAGAAGAGGAGGGCUUCUACUGUGUGUAGCGAGAAAAUCGUGGGUCAGAAAAGAAGCCAGAUGGAGAUCAACGAAGACUUGGAGGGUGAAGCAAAGAAGGGAAAGAUUAUGGAGGAUGCGGGGGUGAGUAUGGUGAUAGCACAGGAGGAGGAUGGGAACAAAACAACUAAACAGAUACCGGCCGGGUUGCUCGAGCAGUCCCGCCGGAUGCAAUGAAAAUCGUCAGCUGGAACUGCCGGUGGUUGGGGAACGGCCCGGCAGUUCGGUCUCUUCUCGAGUUGGGAAGAGUGGAGGACCCUGAUAUCUUGUUUUUAUCGGAGACAAGGCUGUAUGAGAAGGAGUUAGAUCAUUUAAGGUGGAAGUUGGGGUUAGCCAACAUGUCAGUAUGGAACCCCGAGGGGAGGAGUAGAGGAAUAGCCAUGUUUUGGAGGAGAGGGGUGGAAGUUUCUCUUAGAUCAUAUGGAAGGAGGCACGUAGAUGUGGAUGUGAAGGAAGGAGAUGAUCCGGUGUGGAGGCUUACUGGUAUGUAUGGAGAGUCGGCUACAGGGAGAAAGAAAGAGACUUGGAGAACACUAAAAAUCCUAAAACAGCAGCACCAACAAGGAAGGCCAUGGCUGUGUGUGGGCGACUUUAAUGAAAUAUUAUCGGAGGUAGAGAAGGUAGGAGGUGCCCCGAGAGCGCAACACAUUAUGGACGGGUUUAGGGAUGCUUUGAUAGUGUGUGAGAUGAAUGAUCUUGGUUUUGAGGGUGAUAUAUUCACAUGGAGGAAUCACAGUAAAGAUGUGAACACAUACAUUUGCGAGAGACUUGACAGGGCCGUCGGUAAUGAAGAAUGGAGAAAGCAAUUCCGGAAUUAUGCAGUGAUCAACGGCAUUCCCUGACACUCCGAUCACAGGCAUGUCAUUGUGCAAACGCAAGGAGCGAGUAAAAAGUGGAUGAAUGGGGACCGUGGUUUUAGGUUUGAAGCAUGGUGGUUACAGGAGGAGGGGUGUGAGGAUGUUAUUCGGGAGGCGUGGGAAAGGAGUUGGGCAGAGAGGGGGGAAGGCGUGGCAGCUGCUCUAAAAACAAUGGCGGAGGCGAUGCGGGUGUGGGAUAGAAAUGUGGUAGGGGAGCUGGAAGGGAGGUUGAAAAAGCAAAAAAUGAUCUAGAGACGUGCAUGCUUUCUAGAGUAUCGCAGGAGAAGAUUGUGGAGGAGGCUAGGCUGAGGUGCUUGGUGGUGGAGUUGGAGGAGAAGAAGAACACCAUGUGGAAGCAGCGGGCACAUGUCUGGUGGCUAGUAGACGGUGAUCGAAAUACACGAUAUUUCCACCUCGUGGCGUCAGGAAGGAAGAAAGCUAAUGGGAUCAAAUAACUGAGGAGGGAGGAUGGGUCGAUCGUGGAGGAAUGGGAUUUGUCUAACUAUGUCUGCUUGUUUUUUCAGGAUCUUUUCUCCUCAUCGGCGGGGGAUAGGGCCCAUGAACUGAUCGAAAUGGUCAGCCCCCGAGUAACUCUUGCCAUGCGUCGCACCCUUGAUGCGGAGUACACUAGAGAAGAGAUCAAGGCAGCACUGGAUCACAUUGGCGAUCUCAAGGCACCUGGUCUGGAUGGCAUGCCCUUCGUUUUCUUCAAGCGACAUUGGCAUUUUAUGGGUGAUCAGGUGGUUGAGGAAGUUCUUAGGGUGCUGAAUGGUGGUAAUAUGCCCGCGGGUUGGAAUGAUACUCUUGUGGUUCUUAUGCCCAAGGUGAAGGACCCCUCCAGAAUCAAGGAUCUGCGAUCGAUCAGCCUCUGCAAUGUCGUUUACAAGCUCAUCUUGAAGGUCAUAGCAAAUCGGUUGAGGGUGGUGCUCCCGGACCUAAUCUCUGAAAACCAGAGUGCCUUCGUACCGGGGCGGCUUAUAACGGAUAACAUUCUGAUUGCCUAUGAGAUCUCGCACUUACUGAGCAACAAGAGGAACGGACAAGAAGGGGUGACAGCGGUGAAGGCUGAUAUGAGCAAGGCGUACGAUAGAGUUGAGUGGAACUUUCUCCAAGCAAUGUUGACCAAGAUGGGCUUCAGUCACCGGUGGAUAAGCCUUGUCAUGAAUUGUGUGCGUACGGUGCGUUAUUAGAUCAAGGUUAACGACAUCCUGACAGACCAGUUCUGCCCGUCGCGUGGCCUGCGUCAAGGAGAUCCUCUGUCGCCCUAGCUCUUCGUCAUAUGUGCCGAGGGUCUUUCUUAUUUGCUGCAUGAGGCUGAGCGGGCGGGCAGGAUUUCGGGCGUCAAGAUAUGCCAAGCUGCGCCGAGCGUCUCACAUCUGUUUUUUGCUGAUGACUCCAUGAUCAUGCUCAAAGCUAACGAGCAGGAGGCGAUCGCCCUUAGGGAGAUUCUGGACUUGUACGAAAAUUGUUCUGGACAAUGCAUCAACUUAGAAAAAUCUGCUCUUAUGUUCUCACAGAACACUUCGGAGGAGUCCAAAGACGAGGUCAAGGCUGCGCUUGGCAUUGUCAGUGAGAAUUGGAACGAGAGAUAUCUCGGCUUACCAGUACAUGUGGGUAGAUCACGAAGGAAGGUGUUUGCGUACAUCAAGAAGAACCUAUGUGGGUGCAUGAAUGGAUGGCAGGAACGGCUGCUGGCCAAAACGAGCAAAGAAACUUUGGUUAAGGCUGUAGGUCAGGCUAUACGGACUUUCACGAUGUCAUGCUUCGACUUAACCAAGGGCUUUUGCAAGGAACUAGACUCUCUGAUGAAAAAAUUCUGUUGGAGUCAACAAGAUAAAGAGAACACGAUGCAUUGCCAGUUGGGAGACUUUGACACAACCAAAGGCACUGGGAGGGCUAGGCUUCAGGAAUAUGUAUGAUUUCAAUAUCGCAAUGCUAUCAUGGCAAGGGUGGCAAUUUUUGCAGGACCCAGAGAGCCUAUGUGCCCGCAUCCUGAAAGCUCGCUAUUUUCCUCAUUGCUCUAUUCUAGAGGCCGAGGCGAAAGAGGGCAUUUCUUAUUCUUGGACAAGUAUAUUGCAUGGCCUACAGCUCAUUAAGCAAGGGUACAUCUGGCGCAUUGGGGACGGUACUCAAGUUAACAUAUGGUCGGACCUGUGGAUCCCUGGGGCCUGGUCGUGUCAAGUUAUCACCCCCAAGGGUCAGAACAUCCUAACACAUGUAAGUGAACUGAUUUGCCCCGUCACUGGCACUUGGGACGCACAACUGGUGCACGAUUUAUUUUGGCUAGAUGACGCCCAACGCAUUCUGCAGAUCCCCCUCCGUGAAGGAGCUACUGACUUCAUUGCGUGGCACUUUGACACCAGAGGGCAGCAUUCGGUCCGGAAUGCGUACAAGCUACAAGUUCAUCUUGAAAGGAAGAGCAGCACGGCUCGAGCUGGGAGUAGCAGCAUGAUUCCUGGCAACUUUGAGAGCUGCGACGAUCAGUCCUGGAAGCGCCUCUGGAAACUUCCGUGUCCGCGAAAAAUUCAGAUGUUCGCAUGGAGGUUGAAACACGAGUCACUUGCCUUUAGAACCAAUCUAACCAGGAGGGGUAUGAAGCUCGACAACACCAAGUGUCUGUUCUGCGGAUGUGCUGACGAGGAUGGAGCUCACCUUUUCAUCAAGUGUAAACAUGUGAAGCCAAUGUGGAGGGCACUCGGGUUUGAAAAAGAGAGGAUUGAGCUCGAAGAGAUCACGUCUGUGCAUGCAGUGAUGGACUACUUAUGGGGCCUAAAUGAAAAUAUGCGCGUGCAGAUUCUCACCAUGUGGUGGCACUGGUGGAAUAAUUGCAAUAAGCUUAGAGAGGGAGAGCUGGCAGUAUCCUGCGAAGAACUGACACGGCGAGUACUGUCAAACUCGCUGGAAUACUCGUAGUUGUUCGCGAAUAGAACGAAAAAGAAAGAGAAGCUGGAAUGGCGGCCCCCUAGCGACGGGAUGAUCAAGAUCAAUCUGGACGGCGCCUUCAAACUGGGAGACACUUUUGCCACUUGGGGAGUCGUGGCCGGGGACGAGUCUGGAGAGGUAAUCACUGCCCGUGCAGGCAAGACGGAGCAGGUGGCAAGUCCGUUUGGGGCUGAAGCCAUACACUAGUAGAAAAGGGGGCAAUGGUCCAGGCCGGGUCAGCCCAUUAGUCCCGGUUCAAUCCAGAACCGGGACCAAUGGGGGCAUUGGACCCGGUUCGUGAGCCCCGGGGGCCGGCCGGGCCACGUGGGCCAUUGGUCCCGGUUCGACAGGACCUAUUGGUUCCGGUUGGUGGGAUGAACCGGGACCAAUGGGCCUCGCUCCUGGCCCACCACCAUUGGUCCCGGUUGGUGGAAUGAACCGGGACCAAAGGAUGCCCUUUAGUCCCGGUUCGUGGCACGAACCGGGACCAAUUAGUUGCCUAUAUCUACCCCUCGCCCGCGAGCAGAGCACUCCCAGUGCUCUGUUUUUCGUGGCCGGCGAGGGGAGAGCUUUGUGGUGCUCUAGCUCACCUACUAUGCACACGAGGUGUUCGAUGGAAUGCCCGAGCCACACUACUUAAGCUUUCUCCUCUCCAAGCUCGACCUCCAAGCUCCAUUUUCCUUAAUAUUUGUCUAGGUUUAGCGGUCCGUCCCAUCCCGUCCCCGUCUUCACUGCCGUUGAUCGCCCGCGCCGAUCUCGUCGCCGGCACCACCGUGGUGAGCCUCUUGUUCUUAUCUUCUUUCUGAAAGGAAAAAAAUCUUAUUUUUCUUACUUUUAUUAUUGCAUCUUAUAUAGUGCGAUGGUUUUGGUAUCCGCACCCGUCGGCCCUCGUCCUGUCUAUGAUUCAGAUGUGGUAUAUAUUAUCUUUUCAUAACUAUUGGUUCAUUUAUUGUUUAUGACAAUUAUGCCGACCAACGUGACAUAGAUUUUAUUUAUCUAGGAGGUUGUUGAACCGGAAAUUCCAACCGACCCUAUUGUCGAGAGGUUCAAUUUAGUUGAAGAAGAAAACAAUUUGUUGAAGGAAAAAAUUAGAAAAAUUGAGGAGGAGAAGAUGAUAUUGGAGUUGCAUGUUGCAGAUGUCGUCGAUGAUCACAAGAUCAAGAUGGAUGCAAUGCGCUUGAAGAUUAGAAAGAUUAGAAAAUAUGCCAUUCAUACCGAGGCUUGGUAUCAUUAUGCCAUUGGAUCAGUUGUUACAUUGGUUGCGAUUAUGAUCGCAUUUGUUUUCGCAUUGAAAUGUUUUACAUAGUUUCAGUGUAUGGUUUAAUUAAUUUAGAUGCUCUGCAGAGCUUUAUGUUGUUAGAUGAGAACUAUGUAUGUACUUUGGUUUUAAUGUGAUGAUGAACUUCUAUUAAUUUGGUCACUUAAUUAUCUAUUCAUGAUGUUCUGUAAUGAUUUUUGACACACUUAAUUAUAUAUAAUGCACGCAGAUGAACCGGCAUUGGAUGUACGGUUCAAGACACACCUCCGAGUACAUUAAGGGCGUGCAUGAUUUUCUCGAAGUGGCUGAGGCAAACAAGCAAAAUGGUUUUAUGUGUUGUCCAUGCCCUAUAUAUGGGAAUACGAAGUCUUACUCUGACCGGAAAAUCCUCCACACCCACCUGCUUUACAAGGGUUUCAUGCCACACUAUAAUGUUUGGACAAGGCACGGAGAAAUAGGGGUUAUGAUGGAAGACAGCGAAGAAGAAGAGUACGAUGACAACUAUGUGCCCCCUGAAUACGGUGAUGCUACUGAAGAUCAAGAGGAACCAGACGAUGUGCCCGAUGAUGCUGCAACGGGCGAAGCUGCUGAAGAUCAAGAGGAACCAGACGAUGUGCCCGAUGAUGAUGAUCUCCGCCGGGUCAUUGUCGAUGCAAGGACGCAAUGCGAAAGUCAAAAGGAGAAGCUGAAGUUCGAUCGCAUGUUAGAGGACCACAAAAAAGGGUUGUACCCCAAUUGCGAAGAUGGAAACACAAAGCUCGGUACCGUACUGGAAUUGCUGCAGUUGAAGGCAGAGAAUGCUGUGCCUGACAAAGGAUUUGAGAAGGUACUGAAAAUAUUGAAGAAGAAGCUUCCAAAGGAUAACGAAUUGCCCGACGGUACAUACGCAGCAAAGAAGGUCGUAUGCCCUCUAGGAUUGGAGGUGCAGAAGAUACAUGCAUGCCCUAAUGACUGCAUCCUCUUCCGCGGUGCGUACAAGGAUCUGAACGCAUGCCCAGUAUGCGGUGCAUUACGGUAUAAGAUCAGACGAGAUGACCCUGGUGAUGUUGACGGCGACCCCCCAGGAAGAGGGUUCCUGCGAAGGUGAUGUGGUAUGCUCCUAUAAUACCACAGUUGAAAUGUCUGUUCAGAAACAGAGAGCAUGCCAAGUUGAUGCGAUGGCACAGUGAGGACCGUAAGAAAGACGGGAAGUUGAGAGCACCCGCUGACGGGUCGUAGUGGAGAAAAAUCGAGAGAAAGUACUGGGAUGAGUUUGCAAGUGAGCCAAGGAACGUAUGGUUUGCUUUAAGCACGGAUGGCAUUAAUCCUUUCGGGGAGCAGAGCAGCAAUCACAACACCUGGCCCAUGACUCUAUGUAUGUAUAACCUUCCUCCUUGGAUGUGCAUGAAGCGGAAGUUCAUUAUGAUGCCAGUUCUCAUCCAAGGCCCUAAGCAACCCGGCAACGACAUUGAUGUGUACCUAAGGCCAUUAGUUGAAGAACUUUUACAGCUGUGGAAUGGAAAAGGUGUACGUACGUGGGAUGAGCACAAACAGGAGGAAUUUAACCUAAAGGCGUUGCUGUUCGUGACCAUCAAAUAUGGCCCGCUCUCAGUAACCUUUCAGGACAGGCAAACAAGGGAUACCACGCAUGCACGCACUGUUUACUUGACACCGAUAGUAUAUACCUGGCAAGCUGCAGGAAGAAUGUGUACCUGGGCCAUCAUCGAUUUCUUCCGACCAACCAUCAAUGUCGAAAGAAAGGCAAGCAUUUCAAAGGCGAGGCAGAUCACCGGAAGAAGCCCACCAUGCGUACCGGUGAUCACGUACUUGCUAUGGUCAAUGAUUUACACAUAAUCUUUGGAAAGGGUCCCGGCGCACUAGCUGUUCCGAGUGACGCUGGGGGACACGCACCCAUGUGGAAGAAGAAAUCUAUAUUUUGGGACCUACCCUACUGGAAAGACCUAGAGGUCCGCUCUUCGAUCGACGUGAUGCACGUGACGAAGAACCUUUGCGUGAAUCUUCUAGGCUUCUUGGGCGUGUAUGGGAAGACAAAAGAUACAACUGAGGCACGGGAGGACCUACAACGUUUGCACGAAAAAGACGGCAUGCCUCCAAAGCAGUAUGAAGGUCCUGCCAGCUAUGCUCUUACCAAAGAAGAGAAGGAAAUCUUCUUUGAAUGCCUGCUUAGUAUGAAGGUCCCGACUGGCUUCUCGUCUAAUAUAAAAGGAAUAAUAAAUAUGGCAGCGAAAAAGUUUCAGAACCUAAAGUCUCAUGACUGCCACGUGAUUAUGACGCAACUUCUUCCGGUUGCAUUGAGGGGGCUUCUACCGGAAAACGUUCGAUUAGCCAUUGUGAAGCUAUGUGCAUUCCUCAAUGCAAUCUCUCAGAAGGUGAUCGAUCCAGAAAUCAUACCAAGGCUAAGGAGUGAUGUGGUGCAAUGUCUUGUCAGUUUCGAGCUGGUGUUCCCACCAUCCUUCUUCAAUAUCAUGACGCACGUCCUAGUUCAUCUAGUUGACGAGAUUGUCAUUCUGGGCCCCGUAUUUCUACACAAUAUGUACCCCUUUGAGAGGUUCAUGGGAGUCCUAAAGAAAUAUGUCUGUAACCGCGCUAGGCCAGAAGGAAGCAUUUCCAUGGGCCAUCAAACAGAGGAUGUCAUCGGGUUUUGUGUUGACUUCAUUCCUGGCCUUAAGAAGAUAGGUCUCCCUAAAUCGCGGUAUGUGGGGAGACUGACUGGAAAAGGCACGCUUGGAAGGGACUCAAUAAUAUGCAGGGACGGAUAUUCUUGGUCUCAAGAACACUACAUAGUUCUACAAAACUCUACCUUGGUGACCCCGUAUGUCGAUGAACACAAGAACAGUCUGCGCUCCAAACACCCGGAGCAGUGCGACGACUGGAUUACAUGUGAACACAUCAGGACUUUCAGGAGUUGGUUGGGAGCACGUAUCAGAGGUGACAACACUGUUUGUGAUGAGCUGUACUUGUUGUCCAGGGGACCAUCUUUGACUGUAUUGAUUUGGAAAGGAUACGAGAUAAAUGGGAAUACAUUUUACAUGAUUGACCAAGAUAAAAAAAAACACCAACCAAAACAGCGGUGUCCGCUUUGAUGCAACAACCGAGAGGGGAAAGGACACAUAUUAUGGUUACAUAGUGGACAUAUGGGAACUUGACUACGGAGUAGAUUUUAAGGUCCCUUUGUUUAAGUGCAAAUGGGUCAAUCUGUCAGGAGGCGGGGUACAGGUAGACCCACAGUACGGAAUGACAACAAUGGAUCUGAAAAAUCUUGGAUACACUGACAAACCGUUCGUCCUAGCCAAUGAUGUGGCACAGGUUAUCUAUGUGAAGGACAUGUCUACCAGACCGAGAAAGAGAAAAGAUAAGGAAGCGAAUACAUCAUACGAUGAGCCAAAGCGCCACAUAGUUCUUUCUGGAAAAAGGGACAUCGUGGGAGUGGAGGACAAGACAGACAUGUCUGAAGAUUAUGAAAAGUUUCAUGAAAUUCCUCCCUUCAAAGUGAAGGCUGACCCUAGCAUCCUGAUAAACGAUGAAGAUUAUCCAUGGUUACGGAGCAAUAAGCAAAUGACACAAGCGAAGAAAAAGUGAAGACUUUCUCCAGCAACUAUUAUGAUGAUACCAUGCCAACUUUGUAACUGACGAGUAUGAUACCAUUGUCUGUUUUGUACAUGCACAUGCUAUGUGGGUCAAUUUAUGAUACCAUGCCAACUUUCAACUUUUUCAGAGUUCAUUUGAAAUGCUUUAAUGUCUUAAGGUUCGACCCUUGUAAUAAUUAAAAAUAGCAACAAUAAGUAUUUUUUGUAAGUAGAAACAAAAUAAAAUAAAUAAAGCAAGAAAGAAAACAAAAAAACAAAAAAAGUGUUUUCAAAUUUGAAAACUAAUGGCACUAACAGAAAGUUUAUAAUUUUCCUAAAACUAAAAGCAAAAACAAUUAAAAAAUAAAGCAAAAAACAAAAGAAAAUAAAUAAUGCAGAAAACAAAAGAAAAAACUGGAAAAAAAUAAAUAUAGCAACAAUAAGUAAAGAAAACAAAAAAACAAAAAAAUGCCUCCUACUGGGCCCCCACGGCCUGAAUACGACUAGAAACCCUACUAUGGGCCAGGGUUCAGGCCCGCAGUAGGCCCAGAAGGCCCAUCAGGCAAAGCAACAGCAAGUAGGCCCGAAAGCCUGCGGUGGAGAGAAGCUCAAGAGGGGUGCGGCAGUGGGGCUUAUAAACCACUGCGCGCCCCUCUCAACUAGCGAGGUGGGACUAAACUUUGGCCCCGAGGCGGGCAGCACAGAGGCGUUUGGUCCCGGUUGGUGGCACCAACCGAGACUAAAGGGGGGCAUUAGUCCCGGUUGGUGGCACCAACCGGGACUAAAAGGGGGCAUUAGUCCCGGUUUGUGCCACGAACCGGGACCAAUGCUCUUGCUAUAUAUACAGCACUUAUCAGUUUUCGCCAAAAUCCAUCUGUUUCUUCUCGCCCCGACGCCUUCUGUUCCUCGUCGCCAUCGCCGCCGAGCCCUGCCCCGACGCCAUCAGGCUGGUCCACCUCGCCGUCGCCGCCGCUGAGCCACUACCCCGACACCGUCGCCGCGCCCGCCGCCCCUGCCGGCCCCAACCCCGUCGCCGUCGCCGCGNNNNNNNNNNNNNNNNNNNNNNNNNNNNNNNNNNNNNNNNNNNNNNNNNNNNNNNNNNNNNNNNNNNNNNNNNCACGCCACCCGUUCCCCGACCACGUCGCCGUCGCCGCGCGCGCCGCCCCUUCCCCGACCCCGUCGCCGUCGCCGCGCGCGCCACCCCUUCCCCAACCCCGUCGCCGUCGCCCCGACCACACGCCGCCGCCUUCGGUCCGGCCGCCGGCGCCCUUUCCUCUUAUUUUUUUGUGCAUUUUAUGUAUAUGUUCUCUAUGUAUAUAUGUAUAUAUUCUCUGUGUAUUAAUUAACCCCCUUCUUCAAAUUAGACGUGGCAGAUGCGGAAUGAACUCCUAGAACCAGAUCGCAUGAAAGCAAUUCAAGAGGAAUUGGCGAGAUUCUUUCUUGACCACGUCAUCAAUAAAGCCGGAGAAUACCAUGUGGAAAUUGAUUUCAAUUGCUAGGGGAUUGUAAUUAUAAGAGAUCUUAUACAUAUUGUACAUGCAUGUAUGUAGCUAGUAGCGUCAGAUACUUGUUGUUCGACCAAUCUCUCGGAGAAGGAGAGAGGUCGAUCGAUCACUUCUCUCGGUAUGCAUGAACUUCUGUACUGAAUGGUUCUCUCAAUCACUUAUGUAUAUAUAGUACGUAGAGUCGACCAAGCACGGACAUAAGAGAGGACACUUCUAUCUAUUAAUUAGCUAGCUAACACAAUAUAUGAAACACGUAAAUUAACCCCCCAAAACCCCCAAUCCCCCCCCCUCCUUUCAAAAAAAUAACAAAAACCCCAACCAAUGAAAUGCUGACGCGUGGAUGCUUUUUGGUCCCGAUUGAUGCCACCAAUCAGGACCAAAGGACCCCUGACUGGGCUCGGCGCAGGGGGCCACGUGGAGGCACAUUGGUUCCGGUUCUUGUUUGAACCGGGACUAAUGGGUGGAGGUAUUAGUAACGGCCCAUUAGUCCCGGUUCAUGAACCGGGACUAAAGGCCCUUACGAACUGGGACUAUUAGGUGUUUUUCUACUAGUGAUAGCACUCUCUGAAGCAAUCAACACUGCUGCGAAUCUAGGGGUGUUGCGUGUUGUUUUUGAAACCGACUCAACACUUCUUCAGGAAGCUAUGAACAUGAGGAGAGCAGACUCAUCACCGUAUGCAGCACUCAUCAAAGAUUCCAAGCUCCAACUCAGGCUGUGGUUCUCGAAACAACAGGUCCAAGUGUGUCGUAGGAAGGCAAAUUCAGUCGCACAUGAACUAGCCCAAGUAGAGCGUCAGUGCAUGUCUAAUAAUUGUAUCGUGUGGAACGAUGAUGUACCGCCCCGAGUGGCGAUUUGUGUUUCUGGCGAUUUGGCCAGGCACCAUUAAGUUAUAAAGCUUUGCUUUGCCCUAAAAAAAAAAACCAUCCACAAGAGAGGUCUCAGGUUCAAAGUUCAAUAACAAAGAAGGAAAGAAAAACAACAGGAUCCAAAUAAGUCUUGCUGGGGGCACAGCACAACAUCCCCUGAAUAAAUCAACACCGCACACUAGAUGCAAGAAGCUUAUUCAUCCGGAGGAUUACAUCGCACAAGUAACCAAACCGGUUGUCUCCGGUCAAACUAUGUAAACCAACAACAGCACUGGCCAGGGCGGGUGCAAAACGUGAAAUGCUGCUGUCCCCGCGCCAACCUGCUGCACAUGUCGUCGCAAGCGGAAUAACUGCAUGCUUGACCUAUCAAAAAGGAGCAAUAUCGGGUACCACCUGGAGGAGAUGCAGCAAGAUCAUACUUAUGCGCGCCAUGGCAGGACGGUAAGGUACAGGCAGACACCAUUGCAAGGACCAGGAAAGCAAUAGCCAUGGUCCUCAUCUUGUUGUUCGGGUUGACGAGGGCCAUGAGGAGAAGAGGCGUGACUAUUGUGUUUGUUCUUCUUCCUUGUGUGCUCCUUCUCUG
RNAcentral lists this long non-coding RNA (51660 nucleotides) under Triticum aestivum (bread wheat). Its description in RNAcentral is "long non-coding RNA (TAES_LNC012775)". The record is from RNAcentral. Lineage: Eukaryota; Viridiplantae; Streptophyta; Magnoliopsida; Poales; Poaceae.